Molecule: long non-coding RNA, 51226 nt
Filed under: Triticum aestivum (bread wheat)
Lineage: Eukaryota; Viridiplantae; Streptophyta; Magnoliopsida; Poales; Poaceae
Description: long non-coding RNA (TAES_LNC006412)
Source: RNAcentral
UUUUUUUUUUUUUUUUGAGAAUAACUCAACCACAGGUUGAUUCUCCUGCUAAAGAGAUCUGUCCCGCAUCUGGCAAAACUGGGCUGGCUGUCCUGUGGGCUGCUGCUCCGCAGGCCGAAAUGAAGCCCUCUGGUUAACUGGGCCGAUUAGGCGAUUUGGGAGUUUCCACCCCACUUAACUAACCGAGCACGUACGGUCCAGAGCGACGGAUCGGCCUGCACCCGAUACAAAGGACCUGAUCGGUGACAGAGGGGGGGAUCGAGGCGCUCGCGAUGCGGCCGACGCGGGUGUUGCGAGGGGAUCCAAUCGACGCACGCGCGAUCGAUCUUCCUUGGGGAUCCGGCUGACGCGCGCGAGAGGAUCCCGUGGCGCGCACGAUGCGGGUGACGCCUCAUCUGAUGGAAACUGCCCCGCUGACACUUUAAAGAUGCAAUCACACUUCAGUUUUGGAGCGCGCAUUCAUGGCGGCUGCCGAUCCUUUCCGAUGUCGUGGAGUACAGGUACGCGUAUAUAUUUGUAUAUAUUCCUCCUUUCCUGUCACUCUUCGCCUACCCUUUCCAGUCCAGCAGCACAACAUCUUUCAGAAAGUCGAGGCAGGCCACGGCGACUGAUCCCCAUUGAGUGCACGACCUUCUCAGUCGCGGGGCAUGCGGGUGAGGCAGGCCGUGACACUUGGAUUUCGUGGGAGAAGCGAAGCAGCCCUAUGGCUGUUCGGUGAAGCAGACGACUGAAUCUCAUCUGACGGGUUGAAAGAUGCGAUGAAUCAUCAGUUCUUGGAAGUGUUAACGACAACUGAUGUGCGCUGCCGUUCACCUGCAUCCUUUGGUGGAGAUAUACAUUGUUAUUUUCCUGGCCUGCAACUGCUUGACUUCAUGCGCCUGAAUAUGCAACUUCCCGUCCUUCUCUGACUGUAGCAGCUAUGGUUCACGGUUGUAUUGCCCACUAUCUUUAUUUUUCUCUUUCCCCUACGAUUCCCUCUUCCACUCAGCAAUUCUUUUCUGCUAAUGUCUUUCCGAACUCAAUUUGUACAGGGGUUUGUCAAUCCUGGAUCUGGUCAACUAUUUGAUUCAGACAGAUCAUGGAGGCUGGUUCUCAUAUUUUGCUUGGUGAAUUCUUCAAUGCACAAUUUGCCAUGGCUGCUGAUCAGGUAAUUAGUUCACUCGCAGGACUGACGCACCUCAUCUCUUCAUGCAAAUAUAAUCCAACAUAGUCUAUUUCGUCAUGUGCUCCAUCCAAGUGCUAACUGAACCUCAACAUAAACCAGUUGCUUGCUUUGUUUGCAAAGUUAUUUUAGACUUAGAACAUUUUGCUGUUUAGAGGUAGCUUUUCUGUAAAAAGUUGUCGUGCUGCUAUAAUACAACAUGUCACGAAUUGUCAAGAGAAAUCUAGAUAGAUCUGAUUGAGUUAACAAGUUUAUCAUGAUGUAAUAUAUGCAUUGUGAUACAUUCUGCUAUACUGGUUUGAUGCUUGAUUCGUCAAUGUCAUUUCAUAUUCUGAGGAAGUCUCAUUCUUUGAGGGAGAACCUGAUUGAUGGUGAACCUAGGGACUUGGAAGUUUGCUUUGCCCAUUGGUUGAGAUCUAAUGUAUGAAUAAGACUUAACUUAUUUUACAACAGCACAUGACCACUUCUCAAGAGAAGGCAAACUACCUACAUGCAACAAUUAUAAUCUCACUGGUAUGGCUGUCUCUUUUAUUUAAUUUAAAUAAUUGGCAUUACUAGCAUAUUUACCAUUUGUAAAACAGAAUAACCAUUUCUUUAAUUGUUCAUCUUUUUAUUAACUGUUAGUAUAUAUGUAAUGCUCACUCUGCUUUUGCAGGCCCCUUAAGUCAUUCCAGUCCUACAAUGUUCAAAAAAUAUGUGUAAACAAAUUGAUGGCUAAAGUAGACCUGAAGUUCAAGGAAGCUAUCCUUAUAUAUUUAGAAUUCCAUCUUUGCAUACAUAUGUUCUGGACCAUCUACGAUAUUCAUAAUCUGUGUCCUAAGACAACAAGCUAUACCAUGAUUAUCUAAGCUUGCAUUGUGUUGCCCGUCCUUUUUUCAAAUGGAUGUUCUUACGUAUUUGCCCCUUGUUAUACAAGCUGCACACAUGAAGUAUGUAUUUAUUAUUCGAUAUGUUCACUUCUUAAAAGUAUGUGAAAUUCAUAUUUCAUAUACUUAUCUACUGCUAAAAGACAACUACUGCUACAAUAGCACAAUAAUUUUCCGCUCUUCCAUGUGGAUGAUGGCUAUCUAUGUAACUAAAUCUUUACCACUAUUUGUGCAUGAUUAUACCUGUUCUUCUAAUAGCCUAAUGUCAUUCCCUUUGAUACACCACUGCCACCAUGGCCAAUCCACCAAAAGGAGGCAGAAUAGGAAAAUAACAUCACAAAUUAAAUAUAUGUAAAUAGGCUAAUGGAGUAAUCGAUUUAUAGUAAAAUACACUAUUGUCGAAUCAAACAAGAAGAGGAUAUACUAUUAUUUUUGUUUUGUGAGAGCACGACAAGGAGUUUAGAACUCUCCUUUACUCCACCAUAAUAACCUAUUUUCCAAAUUAUAAUAAUCACUUCAACAAGGGAAAGUGGAGCAGAAUUUUGCCAUUGUCCAAGGGAUGCGAUCAAUGCAGACCGCGAUGGAUAACGUCCAUUAUUUGAUGACUAUAAAACUAGCAAUGGUGUAUUAACAAGAAAAUCACUUUAAUAAACAAAAUAGAUGUAUUAACAACAAAUGUAUAUCUUUCCCUAAUAAUAAAGCACGGAUUGAGUCUCCGGAUUCACCGCCAUCCUCUUUUUUUUCCGUACGAGGUACUAUUUUUCUUUGCGUGCUACUGACUUUAGGCUUCUGGCCUGGACCACAAUAUCUAAUUGGGCUUCGGCUGGGCCUGCUCCAUUCCACCCGCACACCAUUAAUCAAAUAAAUAAAAAACCGCAAAAAUACAUUAGAAUACAAUAGGGAUCGAACUUGAGACCUAAGGAUAAAUACGACACAUCAACUUUUGUUGUCAUAGUAUUAGUUAUAUCUAAUAAGCCAUCACAGAUAUUCGAUUUUUUUUGUUAUGAAUUUGUGCGGGCAAAUUAUUGGCCCAUCUAAGGUUUCUGGCGGCCCGGCGGUCGAGGCAAAAAUAAUUGCCGGUAAACGGAAUUGAACUCUAGACCUCCUACUUAUUAACUCAGCCAACCAAUCUAGCUCCUGUUAUGUGUUCGAGUUAAUGUUGAUUUACGUGUUAAAUUAGUCCCACCUCGCAAUCUUACAUCCAAUCCACCCAAUUUAUAUAUGCCUCGAGUUUCCUGGGUAUCACGAAGCCGUCUAAGGAAUCAAACGGGACGUGGCAGAAAUAAGGAAGAAAAUAGAGAGGCUAAUUCGUGGGCUAUACUAAUAAGGAAGGAAAUCAAAAGGACGUGGCAGAAAUAAGGCAGGAAAUAGAGAGGCUAAUUCGUGGGCUAUACUUAUAAGCAAGGAAAUCAAAAGGACGUGGCAGCAAUAAGGAAGGAAAUAGAGAGGCUGAUUCAUGGGCUAUACUAAUAAGGAAGGAAAACAAAAGGACGUGGCAAAAAAAUAAGGAAGAAAAUAAGGAAGGAAAUCAAAAGGACGUGGCAAAAAUAAGGAAGAAAAGAGAGAGGUUGAUUCAUGGGCACUGAUAAGGAAAGAGGCUAAUUCGUGGGUAAAUAAGAAAGAGGCCAUAUGUGGUGGUCGUACUAAAUUGAAUGGGGCGUGACAUAGAAAUAAAUUGGGGCCAUAUGUGGUGGGGGUGAAGUAUAAACACGUCAGGCACGCAUGCUUAGGGCGACUGGCGUAAGAACUGAGAAAGAGAAAGAUUGUGCUGUAUUUUUUUUAACUCAAGAAAACAACCGUUUCUGGUUUUCUUUUUGGUCUUUUAUGAAUGUUUUAUGGACCAGCCCACCCCUGCGGCCACCCCAAACGCUCGCACAGUGAGAUCUUCACUUGACUUCAAAUAGCUCAAUUUUUAUACGUACCUUGUUAGUGGCUACUUGAGAUAGGAUGGCUCAAUUUAAAUAUUAUCACGUUUACCAAUAAUUUUUGCAUGACGUUUGGAAGACUAGAAUUCGGAGCAACUUUUUUGAUUUUGAUUGCUUAAUUCAUAGGAUGAAAUAUGAUGAAAAUCCUAUCUAUACACUAUCUAUCUUCUUCCAUUUCUUUGUCCAUCUCUCCAUCUAUUUUCUGAGAUUUCAGGAGUCUGACAGAUGAAGGUGGUUUUGUUGAUACAUGCCACCAACGGGCCACCCUCCGAGUCGUCCGAUUGCUCAAAUGUAAUUGUUCAUCCUCACUAAUGUUCUCCUUACAUGCCCUCCGACCACGCGCAAAUGAGGAGAAGAAACAUAAUGAAUCAAAGUCUCUUGCUUGGCUGAAUCAUGCCAACCUCCUGCAGUAGGCAUAUAGUGCUGGCACAUGUGUUGUAUCCAUAAAAACUACUCCCUCCUUCCAUCUAUAUAGGGCCUAAUACAUUUUUUGAGGAUAAGUUUAACCAAAUGUUAGAGCAAUAAUAUAUGACAUGCAAGUUACAGAAAGCACAUCGUCAAAUUCGUAUGUAAAAGGAGCUUUCAAUGAUAUAAUUUUCACAUUAUGCAUGUCAUAUACUAUUAAUCUUGUCAAUAGUCAAACGUAGUCUUGAAAAACGCAUUAGGCCCUAUAUAGAUGGAAGGAGGGAGUAGAUUAUUUAUGCUCCAUUGCAAUGCAUGAGUUCUUUUGUUCCUCUCGUUGCAACGCACGGGCAUUUUUGCUAGUUCCACUUAAAGUCAAUUUAAGUUCAAAAUAAAUGUAUCCACACACCAAGUUCAACUAGCUAAGUGUCCGUGCGUUGCCACGGACUAACAAAUAUAUAUAUACAAAGAGAAAAUUAAUGUGACAUGAGAGUCAAAGGCCAUUUUUAUGGGAUGAUAUCUCAUGGUCAUGAUCUAGUAGGUACAUACAUCUCGUCAUUGUCUUUCUUCCACACUCCAUGUCUGAGCUACCACGCGACACUCGACUUCCUUCUCCCACCAUGCAUGCUUUUAUCUCCUAUUUCUCCUACCUCUACCUUGCACGACAGUACCAAGUUUCUUGUCCAACUAUCAUAAUCUUCUCCGGUAGGGCACCCCCUUAGAUUAUUACUGACUUGUACAUGUUGCAAAUAAGAUCAACGAAAAUGGAUACUAAAUUUCUGAUGAGAAAUGAGAAUUCGGGGCAAUAUCUUCCCAAAAAAAUAAUAAUUCCAAGACAAUCUUUUUAUACCUUCUGUCAACAUUGGGACACACAUUCCAUGCAAUAAGCAUGCAAUGAUGUUGAUACUUGAUUAAUUGUCAAUAUAUGUCUAUAGUAAAGAUAACUUUACUCAAAACAUGUUUUUCUAAGAAGGAAGGAUAAUUCAUAUUAGAAAAAAAAUAAAGGUUUGGGUUCAUCCCACCAAUGUUUCUCUUGUGCAACUCAUCUCCGCACCUGCUCGCGAGAUUGGCGUGUCUCGAGCACACCACUCCCACACACCCUCACAAGAGCGUCACAACCAAUCUCUGAGUGCCACUGACACACAUGCAUGGAGCGCUCACUCCAAGCCUGACUAUACACAUUUCCACAGUAGCCGAAUUCAAAGAGAAUCAACGGGGCAUCAUCCACUGCUUUCUCAGGGUCCUAUUCAUCAUGAAAUCAUAGACCAAGAUAUUCCUCCCAUCCAUUUUUUAGGGAAAGGAUUUUUCUCGAUGUUCCUCUCAUCUUCAUGGUAGUAAUAACCUAAAAACGCCACCAGUCAACUCCGAAGAACAUGCAACAUUGUGAGAGUCAAAGUCAUGGUCAGUCAACUCCGUCAAGAAUUUCAAAUUAUGUGCUAUCCAAUACGUACUUGUUGCCGAUGGAACGACCACAUGGAUAGCUCCUACAAUCUUCAUGCAGGUUGCACAAAAUUACGCCAUAGGAGGUUUCAAACCUUCAAUGGGCCACCCUUGGCCAUCCAGCCGGUGGUUUUCCAUCCUUCCUUACGCCUGACGUCUUGUGGAACCAGGCGCAUCCCAGAUCCACCGCCUUCCAUUCAGGUCGCCACACAGAGGGGAAAAAUAGAGUAGGCGGUGGCGCGGAGGAGGAGGCGGUGGUUUUCUAUGUCACUGGUGUUUGUGUAGUUGUGCGUUGGAACUCACAACGUGGGGAGGACGAGGAAAUGGGAGAGCAGAUUGUCGAUGGUGGCAUGGGAAAAAGAACGCGGUCUGAGGAGGGGGUCGGUGGCUAGAACUUUGGAAAGGAAGGAAACCUGAUUGUGUUUCCCUUUAUUUUGUAUAUGGAAGUUAUCGUAUGGUUCAUGUAUGGCAACAAGUCCUAUAAAAGAGAACCAAGGAUUGAUUGAUGAUUGUGUUUUAUUUCAUAUGGAAACCGAUUUGUCGGGGCUACAUGUAAGUGCAUUGUGACUAAGGAAGGAUCAAUAGAUUGAAUUAGAUUAGAAAAAACCCAGCAGGAGGGUGGAGUUAUUAAUUAAGAAAAAAGUCAGUAGUGGGAGGUGGGAUGAAAUAAAACCGGACGAAAAAAAGUCAGUAGUGGGAGGUGGUAGUCUCCGCCGGCCAAUUUUCGUCCCACCUCCACUGGUUUUUUUCGUCCUAAAAAAAUCUAUGAAAUUUCGUAGGUUAACCAGGGACAACUCCCACCUUCCAGGUUUUUUUCCGUCUCACCUUCCAUGAUAUUUUUUUGUACCUCGCCCCACCUCACACUGAGCCGCCAAGAAUCGCAAAAACCGCCUACCUUAGCCAAAUCAACAAAUCUCUCUCAUUAAUGCAAUUUUCUUUAGCAAACAAAUAAUAGAUUCUUUCCUACCUUAGCCAAAUCAACGGAUCUCUUUCAUUAAUGCAAUUUUCUUUAGCAAACAAAUAAUAGAUUCUUUCCUACCUUAGCCAAAUCAACGGAUCUCUCUCAUUAAUGCAAUUUUUCUUUAGGAAACAAAGAAUAGAUUCUUUCCUACCUUAGCCAAAUCAACGGAUCUCUUCCAUUAAUGCAAUUUGCUUUAGCAAACAAAUAAUAGAUUCUUUCCUACCUUAGCCAAAUCAAUGGAUCUCUCCCCGGUUCGCUGGGCGCGUUUCGGUGGGUGGGCGUGGGGGUGGGGGUCAUUUGAUGGAAAAAACCAUUUGAAAAUAAACCGGUUGAAAGUGGGGGGACUAUUCAACCAAUUCGUCCAUUAGGAGUAGAGAUCAACGGAUCUCUCCCCGGUUCGCUGGGCGCGUUUCGGUGGGUGGGCGUGGGGGUGGGGGUCAUUUGAUGGAAAAAACCGGUUGAAAAUAAACCGGUUGAAAAUAAACCGGUUGAAAGUGGGGGGACUAUUCAACCAAUUCGUCCAUUAGGAGUAGAGAUUUUUAAUAUUUGCCAUCAAAAUAGACGGGCGCGGCAACGCGCGCUAGGAGCGCCCGCGUCCAUCAGCGCGCCGCCGACCGACGGGACGAAUCCCCUGGCCACGCUGCCCUUUCCCAGAUGCCCCGGUCCACCGCCGCCUUCUUUUCGAGAGCCGCUCCGAUCUCGACGUGGUCUACUGACGCCGCCCCUCUCCCACCAGCAAGUUCUCCGCCUCCAUCUCCCUCUGCCACCGCCAGCAGUACGUGCUCCUUCUUCCCUCUGCCGCCCCGUCCCUUCUCGACGCCCCCCUCACUCACACUUCACCUUCCGCCAUAGCCCUUCCCAUCAUGGCCCCGACCCCCAGUGCCUCCAUGUCGCCAGCCACAUCUAGCCGUUCGGAACUCUUCCGAUCUGAACCUGGUCGUCCUUGCCCACACAUUGCUCCAAUCCAAGUGCCCCGCCUGUUGGUUGGCUUUUGCCUCUUCGACGAUCAGACCCGGGCAGCAAAGAGGCCGUAAAGCACCUCCUCCUCAUGCCCGUAUGAUCACCCAAGCACUCGUGGUGGUCGUCUCCUUGUUCUUCCUCUUCACCAGAUACAGGUUACAAGGAAGCUCCUGAAUCGCCACCCUUUGCUUUCUCCCCUUCCUUCUGAAUUAUGCAUAACCACAGGUCAUUUUUGCAGCCAGAUUUUGUUGCUCUUUUGAAGAGUCGAUCAAGCCACUUCUCGCUGCAUACUCCAAUGUAAUUUUGUCCUGGUAUGAACUAUGUACGAAACACAUAUCAUGACCACUCAUUUCUAUUGACAUUUUUUUGUAGGUGUUAUUAUUGACAUUUGCAUGAUUUGAUUAUUGUCAUUAGCAGUCCAUCUGUAGCUGGUAAAGUGGGUCAAACUUAUUAUAUCUGUGACUUACCACAUGUUUGUUGAAUCAAUGUUGAAAACAACAAAGGGAAUAAUUAUCCUGUGUCUAAUUUAAACGCAGUCCUACCUGAACUUGUGGCUGGCUCUCUUUUUAGUCUUGCUUACCAUCUGGAUUAGCCCUGAUCCAUCUUCAUCACCAUGUUUACAUAUACAGAUGUUAUUGGAAUAGUAUCUGGAAUUUCAGAUAUACUGAAGGUACGAUUACCUGCUAGAGCACAAGAAUCAGAUGAAAGGAACUUGCUGUUCACAGAUAUUGAGUAAGCUAUUUCAUAUAGAUCAUGAUACAUUAAACUUAUCUGUUGAUUUUAUGAUAUUUAAUCCAUGAUGCUAUGUUUAGUGGAAACACUAUGGAAGUUGCACUGUGGAGAGAACAUGCAACUUCCUUCCAGGCUGAUAAUCUAUACAACCUUGGUCCGACGCAACUAAUUCCAGUUCUUUUGAUUGAAAAUUUUAUGAAAAGUUACCUAGGUAUGGUCGAUGUUUCAAAGUAUUUAUUUACACCUUUUCAAUUAAGAAAGAAGCCACAUGGUUAUAAAAAAUGUAGGCUGUUCACAAUAAGUUGCAGCGAUGCUGCUAAGAUUUAUAUCAAUCCAGAUAUACCUGAGAAGAUAAAUUAUUGUGCCAGGUAAAAAAAGUAACUAACAUUACAAAUUGUAACACAUAUCAGUUAACUGUUGUAAUAUACUUACCUUUAUGUUCAUUAUGCUGAAUGCAGACUAGGUAAACAAAUGCCUACCAUGUCUGACAGUCAUGGCAGCACGUGAUGAUCGGUACAAUCCAACAAUUAGUAAUGAAAGGGCUGGCACCGUCAAGGUCGAUUUCCUGGUUACCAUGAAUCCUAAUGAAUUCCAGAUACAUCGUACCUCUAAAUAAUGUUAUUCUGAAGGUCGAUUUCCUGAUUACCAUGAAUCCUAAUGAAUUCCAGAUACAUCGUACCUCUAAACAUUUUCUUGGGAGUUAUUUACACAUGUCCUACUUUCAGAAUAACUAUCGAAUACCCAACCAACAAAUGUCAAUUUCAUUGAUUAUGUUAAUUUUGUAGGGGAAUAAUAUGAUGAGCACGGUCACAAUAAUGAGACUGGCCUCAGAACAUUGGUGAUUCCUCUCUUGCCAAAUAUGCCAUAGGAAGGCAUUUCAAGCUGGAAGUGCAUUUGUUUGCAGCAAUAAAAAAUGUGGUUGUACCUCAGCUACACCAAGGUAACCUAUUAUAAACUUGCUGAUUAACAUUUUUUAUUGCCACAAGCUUAUUUUCACACUGUCCUACCCAGGUACAAGGCGCGCCUUAUUGGUGCUGAGGAAUAAUCAGGGGAAGCUGAGUUUGUGUUCUUUGAAAGAGACUUGAAGUUAUCAUGGGCGGUGCAUCAGACCGCCCAUUGGCUGUUACUGUAGCUCUAAAUAAUGCAUAAGAAAAUGUUUGUUUCUAUGCGUGGUGCAUCGUACCUCUAAAUAAUGUUUGUUUCUAUAGCUCUGCUUUCUACGAAAAUGCACUUAGAUCUACUUUCUGCCAAGAAUGUUUGAAUCUGAAUGCUAUAAUAUCUAAAUUCCUAAUCCCUAGAGCUUGCAUGCAUUUCUUGUUUUUUCUGUUCUUUUGUUUUUGUACUAUUUUAACUUUAUUCUUUAGUUUGAUAAAAAUUUACCGUAGAAUGAUUGUUGUACCCAAAUGAUAAUCGUCAUACGUGUGGCACGAACUAAUCCGAUCCUGGCGUUUUAUUUACUAUUAAAAGUUGCCAUCCAAAAAAACCCAGAAACUUGCCUUCUGAAAACAAAAUUGUCGUCCUCAAGUCACUAAACUUGCCAUAAAAAAUAUUUGGAGUUGCCAUUUGUUUUUUUUAAAUAAAAAUUCAACUUUAUUAGUUAGAAAUAAUUUUUACAUCGUCCAUAAGAAGAGGUACAAUAUCCUUCAUCGGCUCCUCAAACCAAUCCCUAGUGGCUGAAAUUUUUGCUAAUCUAGCUAUUUCAUGGGCCACUCUAUUUGCUUCUCUAAAACAGUGUUCAAAUUUAACUCUAGGAAAAUCACAAGCCAAAAAGUAACAAGCAUAAAAAACUGCAGCUGCCGCUCCCGCCGAGUGUCCUCCAUUCUUCAUUAUGUCGAUCACUUCCAUGUUUUCUGAGUUUCCAACAAGGCGAUUGCAGCCCACCUUCUAUGCUAGGAAUAAACCAAAUUUAAGAGCCAGAACUUCAGCUGUUAAUACAUUAUCACACCAUUCAAUCCACCAGUUUCCUCUAACGAUGAACCUUCCCUUAUCAUCUUUCAGGACCACACCAACUGUACCUUGAAGGAGAUCAUGAUCGAAAGCGGCAUCAACAUUCAGCUUCACAAAUCCCCUAGGAGGGAUACUCCAUCCCCCUAUUUUACGGUUGCCAUGUGUUCGUGCCACACGUGUGGCACUUAUCAGACUCGUUCUACAGUUUCGGGUAACAAAAAAAGAAUAUUCUCUGAUGUGAGGCAACACCAAUUUCUUUCCAUAAGUUCUUUUGUUUCUGUCUUUUCAUAUGUUUCAAAUAGUACAUGAUCCAAUGUAUAGCAUGGACAUAAGAGCAUCUCCAGCUGCGCCCCCAACAGGCCCCAGGCCAUUUUUAGCGCCGGCGGCCAAAAAAGGCCCAGUCACGUCCUCAGGAGCCCGUUUUUCGUCGGUUUGGGCCGAAACUGGCGCCGGCGGCCCCAGGCCAAACCCGGCGCGCUAGGGGGCGCUGGGGAAACUGAUUUUGGCGUGAAUGGGAAUCGGCCCGCCGAGUCAGCGACACGCUGCUUCAUCGUCCUCAUCACCUCCCUGAAUUUUUGGCAUUAAACCAAUUAGCCUCCUAAUCCCCCCCCCCUGAAUUUUUGGCAUCAAACCAAUUAGACUCCUAAUCUCCACCCCCUCCCCCUCCCCCAACCUUUUGUGUGAUUGGCAACGAAAAUUGUUAUGCAACCAAUCUCUAAACAUUUAACACUUGCCAAAAUUUGGCAUGCUAAUUUUGAGCAUCAAACUAAUUAGCCUCCUAAUCUUCACCCCUAAGUUUUUGUGUGAUUGACAACAAAAAUUGGUAUGCAACCAUUCUCUUGCCAACAUUUAACAGUUGCCAAAAUUUGGCAUGUCAAUUUUUGGCAUCAAACCAACUAGCCUCCUAAUCUCUGCCCCCAACCAGUUGUGUGAUUGGCAACAAAAAUGGGUAUGCAACCAAUCUCUAGUCAACAUUUAACAGUUGCCAAAAAUUUGGCAUGCCAUUUUUUGGCAUCAAACCUAUUACCCUCCUAAUCUUCAUCUCUAACUUUCUGUGUGAUUGGCAACGAAAAUUGGUAUGCAACCAUUCUCUUGCCAACAUUUAACAGUUGCCAAAAUUUGGCUUGCCAAUUUUUGGCAUCAAACUAAUUAGCCUCCUAAUCUCCGCCCCCAACCUAUUGUGUGAUUGACAACGAAAAUGGGUAUGCAACCAAUCUCUAGCCAACAUUUAACAGUUGCCAAAAUUUGGCAUGCCAAUUUUUGGCAUCAAACCAAUUAGCAUCCUAAUCUCUACCCCAAAUUGUUUGUGUGGUUGACAACGAAAAUUAAUAUGAAACGAAUCUCUAACCAACAUUUAAUAGUUGCCAAAAUUUGACACUGUCAAUUUUUGACAUCAAACCAAUUAGCUUCCUAAUCUCCACCCUCCUCCCAAUUUUCAGGGGGAUGUGGGCCCCUCGUCAUUCUUUCUUCCAAUCAAUGGCUUCCAAUCAUAAGGUCCUUGCCAGUCACUUUAUAAACCCCCGACGACCGUCGACGAGCAGCAGCACCUCGUCGGUGAGCGAGCUAGCUGAACCUCCAGCCGAGACGAUGGAUAUCUCACUACCCCUCCUCCUCCUAGCCGGCAUCCUCAUCCCCGUCAUCUCGUACCUGCUGGUGACGAACCGCAGCACUGAGGAAGGGCGGCUGAAGCUGCCGCCGGGCCCGAAGCGGGUGCCGGUGCUCGGCAACCUGCACCAACUGGGCCCUCUACCGCAUCGCAACCUGCGCGACCUGGCCGGGCGGCACGGCCCCGUCAUGCUACUCCGCCUCGGCGCGAUGACGAUGGUGGUGGUCUCGUCCGCGGCUGCGGCGCGCGACGUCAUGAAGGCCCAUGACGCCGACUGUUGCAGCCGCCCCGCGUCGCCGGGACCCGCGCGGCUCUCCUACGGGCGCAAGAGCGUCUCCUUCUCGCCAUACGGCGCCUACUGGCGCGACAUGCGCGGACUCUUCGCCGCGGAGCUCCUCGGCGCGCGCGGUGUCGAAGCCUCCUGGGCCGCACGGCGGGAGCAGGUGGACAGGCUCAUGGCCGCCCUGGGCGACGCUGCGGGGCCGGUGUCGUUGGACGAGCACGUGUUCCGUGUCGCCGAUGGCGUGAUCGCCACGGUGGCGUACGGGAGUGUGUACGGCGCGGAGGCGUUCGCGGGCAAGUACGAGCGGUUCCAGCACGUGCUACAGGAGGCCGUGGACAUGUCGGCCAGCUUCUCCGCCGAGGACUUCUUCCCCAACACCGCCGGCCGCUUCCUCGACCGGCUCGCCGGCAUCAUCGCGCGCCGGGAGAGGAUCUUCAGAGACCUCGACGGCUUCUUCGAGGAAGUGCUGGAGCAGCAUCGAGACCCCACGCGCCCCAGGCCGGAGAGCGGCGGCGGCGACCUGGUGGAUGCCCUCGUCAGAAUCUGCGAGGAGCACGGCUUCACGAGGGACCACGUCAAGGCUGUCCUCCUGGACGCGUUCAUCGGCGGCAUCGACACGAGCUCUGUGACGAUCCUGUGGGCGAUGUCGGAGCUGAUCCGGAAGCCGCAGGUGCUGAAGAAAGCGCAGGAGGAGAUCAGGGCCGUGGUCGCCGGCAACGAGCAGCGGGUGCAAUCGGACGACCUGCCGAAGCUGACCUACCUGAAGAUGGUCGUCAAAGAGACCCUGCGGCUGCACCCACCGAUUACGCUGCUUCUGCCGCGGGAGACGCUUCGGAGGGUGGAGAUCGGCGGCUACAACGUGCCAGCGGGGUCGCGGGUGCUCGUGAACGCGUGGGCCAUCGGGAGGGACCCCGCGAGCUGGGGGCAGGACGCGGAGGAGUUCAAGCCGGAGAGGUUCGAGGCCGGCGGGAGGCACGACAAGGUGGACUUCCGUGGCGCUCACUUGGAACUGAUGCCGUUCGGCGCCGGCCGGCGAAUCUGCCCCGCACUGGUCAUGGGGGUGGCGAACGUGGAGUUCACGUUGGCCAACAUGUUGUAUGGCUUUGAGUGGGAGCUGCCGAAGGGGACGUUGGCCGAGAAGGUGAGCAUGGAGGAGGCCGGUAGGCUGACCUUCCACCGCAAGACGCCGCUGGUGCUCGUGCCUACCCCAUACGUAGUGUGACAAGCUCUGCUGCUCUGGUAGUGGUAUAUCGAGUUAUACAUCUGGCAAAUAUAUCUUGAGUGAAUUUAGUUGAACAAAUGAAGAAAAUUGAUACAUGCGCGCGUCUUUGGCUGGUAACAUGAAUCACUCUUUUUUAUGUUUUGAGUUCCAGCACAAAUUUGCUCCGAGUUUAUACAUCGGGUCUUGCGACAUUAUGGCCAGAACUUGAACUUACACCGUCAUUUGGGAGAAAAAUUGAAGUGAUAAUUACACUGUCAUUACAGUGUACUAACAAUGAUAUCUUGAGAGUUACAGUCUAGAUACAUACAAUUCAAAGUUAAAAUUAGCACUGAAACUUCUAAAAUUAUAGUGUAUUUUACAUACGUACUGUUUGUAAAUUACACUUAUAGAUAAUCUGUGAUUACAGUGUAUUUACGCAGAACUUACACUGAUACUGUGUAAAUAUUAGAGUGGCAUUACUGGACUUCCAAAAAAUACAGUGAAAAUAUUACAAUGGCCAAACCGAUUGCACUCAUGACCCACUUCCAAAACAACAAAACAGUGGUACAUGAAAACAAAGUAGAGCACAACAAAAAUGUAGAACAAAAAUGGCACUGUGAUUACAUGAGUACGCUUUCAAAUUAUGAAAAAACUGCUGCAUAUUAGCACAACAAGAACUGCAGAUUGCCACUGUAAAAGAACUGUAGAGUACCACUGUAAAUUAGUGUAAUUUUGUCAAGCCUUAUUUGUAAUUUAUAGUAGUACAUUUACAGUUUUACGGUGGAAUGACAGUGUAAAUGUGCAGUUGAAUUACGCUGUAAAUCUGUAGGUUUGCAGUUUUCACACUAAGAGAGUGCUAUCAUCUAACUUUGACAAACCCCAAAACUAUAUAGAAAAAUGAUGUUACCCAACAAAGACAAACCAACCUAACAAAAAACAAAAAAUGCACUGAAAAAUACGUUGUAACUGCUGCGACUUACAGUGAGUUGCACAAGAAUCACAGUGUAAUUUCCUUGUGAUUUACACAGUAUCAGUGAACCACAGAUAGCAACCAAAGUUGAGGAUCCGGCAAUAGCAUGGUGUGAACCACACAUAAAUGAUAGAUCAAAUUUAACUAAGUAAUUGCAUGCACGCACCGAGAGAUCUUGAAGUAGGAAGAUGAGCUAUUGCUGUGGAUACGUACUAACCUGGUUCGACAGCCAUUGCAAUUCCCCGAAUCAAUCCACCUGAAUCAGGCUCCAGCACCAUAGAUGAGGCCUGUGGAUUACAACGAACAUGAACAAAGGGGAAAUGAGGUUGUACAAAUUUACCAACAUAAAUACCAUUAACAGGUGCUUUGCUCUAUGGUUUUUCUGUUCCCUCAUUUUGAACGCUGGGCUUAUAAUUUAGUUCUGAUGAAUAAUUCAAUUUUGAAAAUCACUCGCUACAAUCAAUCAAAAUACAUGCACCAAAUGAGAACUAAGAAAAGUAUCAUACCUUCACAUUUGCAUUCCUACAAAGUGAGGCAUGCCCAAAUACAGAGGGGACUUGAAAAUUAUAGGACAAACAAGAAUUGAUCUGUGAUGAAAGAAAUACCUUCAAAUAGAUGACUCUGAUAUGCACCGUCCUCACGUCGUUCAUUUAGAAUAGAAAAGCUGAAUAGAUGGUGGUUACUCUAAGUCAACUCUGGACUGUGUGAAAGAAUAUUAGACCCGAGUAAAUAAUCUCACACUGUAACAAUUAGAACUAUGAGCAAUUUGAAGAUGUUGUGUUUAAGCAUAUUAAUCUCAGCCAAGAAAUCAUUGAAGGUGAAAGCAGUGACUCACCUUGCAAUGCAGCUGAAUCAGCCAACCAAUUGGAACUGAGGUCUAAUUGAUCAAGCUAGAGAACCUGCGUUUAUUUGAGAGCACAAAGAACAAUAUCAAUAGAAAUAUAAUCUGUAAUGCAGAAUUGGGGGGAAUGGUGGAGGGACCAUCGGCAGAAGAGGGAAGACAAGUGACCUGAGUGUCAACCAUGGCUGUCGUUUAAGGUUUUGUAGAAGCAGGAGCGAAGAGGGUAGACAGUGGACAUUAUAUGGACGCGAGAUUAAAGGAGGAGCGUGAACCGACAAUGUAACUGACCUGAACACAUCGAUUGCCAUUACUGGCCUCUUGUAACCGUGAUUCAAUUACUGAAACGACGGAGUCGAAUCGACAAUGGACGGUCUGCUGCCUUGGGAACUGUCUGCGUUCCACAUUUCUGGCCGUCGGAUCACAUGCGCUGGACGUUUCUUGCCGUUCGUUCAAUCUAAUCCCACUUGGGCCCCAAAGAGGCAAACUGUCUGAUGGAUGCUACUCCGGUAGAAAAAAACGGAGCCAUGUGGUUGAUGGGGCCAAAAAUAAGCCCAUGUAGCAGGGGGCUACGAUCGGAAUAGCAACAUGUAAAGAUGCAUUUGGAAAACAGGUGUUGUGCUGAAAUUUUUCGAGUUUGCUUCCCUUUGUCAAAAAAUUAUGAGAAUGCAAAUAAGCUGCAGCUUGAAAAGGAAUUUGGUAAGCUACAAUAUGUAUUGUAAUCAAGCUGCAGUUUACUUACUAUGGAGAGCCUGGAUUGCAUCUAGAUAAGUUUCUUCUUCAUUUAAGUUGAUUCAAUAUGCAAACUUAGAGCCCAGUAGAUCAGUUCUACUUUAUAUAUGACAAAUAUUAGCACCAACUUGUGAAAAUGAGGGGCACAUUGAUGCACACGAUCAAUUCUGUUCGUCUAAACAUAUACUCCAUCUGUUAAGUAAUAUAAGACGUUUUAGAUCAGUAAAGUAGUAAUCUAAAAUGUCUUGCAUUAUUUUACAGCAGAGUAUAUAAUGUAAUACCCAUUAUUUCUUAUUUUCAUUGUUACCACCAAUUUUGUCAUGGAGGUGAUUAUUUUGUAAAAUUACAAAGAACAUGCGCAAAUCAUGUCUAAUUGCUCAAAAAGCGUCAAUGGAUUACAACUAAUUAUUUGUCAGAGAAAGCAAACACUUGAGAGCAAAUGAUUUCCUAAUGUGAUACUCUAAUUGUAUUGGAAACUUAAUUCAUCCUCAUGCACUUCAAAAUAUUUUGCGUUAGAGUUUUAUGACUUAUUUUUCACGCGACAUCUUUUUAUAUACAUCGAAGGGGACGGCAGUGUUCCUAUGUUGAGCCUAGCCUGCCAGCAGUUACAAGCAUGUGAUGGCGUGCCUACGUGCCUGAUGAUCACUGAGCAAAGUAAAAACCCUUAUGUACAAUGGUUCACGCUAUGCCCUCCCAAGCAAUGAGCAAAGUAGGUGUCUUGGUAUACAAUGUUUUUAUUGGGUCAUGUCGUAACACUUGUGUGUUUCUGGUGUAUUUUGCACAAUGUUGUUAACUAGUAAACUUGCACAUGCAAUGCACGUAUCCGCCCAAAGAAAAUCCUUGCUCAUAGAACCCUUUUAAGCCAUCUAUGCUCAUAAAACCCUUCUAGGCCAUCUAUAUUCUAUUGUCUGGAGAACAACAUGCCAUGUAUAUUGGCUAUUGCAGAAGUUAAAAGAGUUGGCUAGAGACAACUUUGCUAAAUUCAGCAAUAUAUAUGUGUGUCUUAGGGCAAUCUCCAAUGCACCUCAUCAUUGUUAGCAAGUGGAACCACUAUGCAGCCACUGUGUUUAGGUAAUUAGGAAAAAAAGAAUAUAUAUGAUUAAACAUGCUGACUGCCACCACGAGGGCCUUGCUUGGGUCGACUGUUUUCGCCCGGCUGGCCAUAUGUGACACUUUGCGUCCUCUGUGCCCUGUGCCUUGCUAUGUACUCUCUCCUUCCAUAUAUCUCUUUUGCCCCUUGUAAUACCCCCUGACCAUCCUGGCAAUUUGGGCAUUUUAAAAUUCAAAAAGUUAUAUUGGAUUUACAAUGGGAUCACCAAUCGGAAAAUUAUGAUUUACUCAACUAUUGAUUCAACAUCACUCGGCAACAUAAUGGGCGUGGUAGGCGAAAAAAUAUAACAACCUGAAUUGUAAUGAACAAAGGAUCUAGCUGACAAUGUUAAGUGGGCACAAGGACAACUGAAUCUUCAGAAUUAGUGAUUGCAGCAAUAUAACAUGACAUAGAAAACAAUAAUCAACCUGACCCUACUUCCUAGUUUGAUUUCAACAAAGUAUUAGAAGAGUCAUGUUAAAUUGAAUUUUGAACUAUACCAUAUGAAAAGCCGACCGAGGCUAAUUGCCCAUCUUGUAGUUUCAUGUAAAAUUUAUACAGAAAGUUCAUCAGAAAAUUUGGUGCCCAUUUUUCUAGCAAAAUUGAUCAAAUAGAAAGAAGGCAAGCUAACUGCUAUAGGUCAAUCAAAAGCUUACACACCAUGUUUCAAGAAAACAUAGAAAUAAUCCAAUUGAGUAGCAUCAAACAAAUGAAAGCUUGCAGUCGAGUGAUACAGAUAUGGUGGAUGAUUGCAUAUAACUAAAACAUGUAACAUAAGGGAAAGAGUUUUGUAAAGAAUGCACAUAACCUAUUUAAUCGUAUUCCUUCUACUCUUACAUCCAAACGUUACACAAUCCGUGUGGAAAGAACUGAUAAUAAAUUCAUACAUGACAUGCUAUGUGUAAGCUAUAUAUGAAACAAGAUCAAGAUUCAAAGAGGUAUAUGUUAUAUUUGUAAGAAAUUGUCUACCUUUAAUUAUAAUUCACAAAAUACCCGAUUCAAGUGACUACCUUGAUUGAAGAACUAACUGGUUACAGAUUUAACAACUGACAUUCCUAUCCACCCUUGCUUCCCUUGAGUCUUGACAUAGACAAUAUUCAUCUUACAAACAAGAAAUAGCUUUAUAAGGAGGUAACACUUAGGAUCAAAAGCUUGCAGAUCAAAUUCUAUAGAGCUUAAAAAAAAUCUUGGCAGACAACAUGGGCACAGCUCUCUAUCUAAAACCAUUCUUAAGAGAACAGAAAAACACUAGUAGAAAAGGGGGCAAAGGUCCAGGUCGGGUCAGCCCAUUAGUCCCGGUUCAGUCCAGAACCGGGACCAAUGGUGGCAUUGGACCCGAUUCGUGAGCCCAGGGGCCGGCCGGGCCAUGUGGGCCAUUGGUCCCGGUUUGUCUGGACCUUUUGGUCCUGGUUGGUGGGACGAACCGGGACCAAUGGGCCUCGCUCCUGGCCCACCACCAUUGGUCCCGGUUGGUGGCUUGAACCGGGACCAAAGGCUCCCCUUUAGUCCCGGUUCAUGCCACCAACCGGGACAAAUGAGGUGCCUAUAUAAACCCCCUCGCGUAAGAGCAGAGCACAUUGCUCUGUUUUUUCUGGCCGAGGGGGAGAGGGCUUGGUGGUGCUCUAGCUCAUCUCCUAUGCACACAAGGUGUUCGAUGAAAUGCCCGAGCCACACUACUUAAGCUUUCUCCUCUCCAAGCUCGACCUCCAAGCUCCAUUUUCCUCAAUAUUUGUCUAGGUUUAGCGGCCCGUCAUGCCCCGUCCCCGUCUUUGUUGGGGAACGUAGUAAUUUCAAAAAAAUUCCUACGCACACGCAAGAUCAUGAUGAUGCAUAGCAACAAGAGGGGAGAGUGUGAUCUAUGUACCUUUGUAGAUCGACAACGGAAGCGUUAACUUGGUUGAUGUAGUCGUACGUCUUCACGGCCCGACCGAUCAAGCACCGAAACUAUGACACCUCCGAGUUCUUGCACACGUUCAGCUCGAUGACGAUCCCCGGACUCCGAUCCAGCAAAGUGUCGGGGAAGAGUUCCGUCAGCACGACGGCGUGGUGACGAUCUUGAUGUUCUACCGUCACAGGGCUUCGCCUAAGCACCGCUACAAUAUUAUCGAGGAUUAUGGUGGAAGGGGGCACCGCACACGGCUAAGAAUAAGAUCACGUGGAUCAACUUGUGUGUCUAGGGGUGCCCCCUGCCCCCGUAUAUAAAGGAUCAAGGGGAGGAGGCCGGCCGGCCACAUAUGGCGCGCCAAGGAGGAGUCCUCCUCCUAGUAGGAGUAGGACUCCUACUAGGAGGGGGAAAGAAGUGGGGAGGGAGAAGGAAAGAGGGGGCGCCGCCCCCCCUCUCCUAGUCCAAUUCAGACCAGGGGGAGGAGGCGCGCGGCCCACCUUUGGCUGCCCCCCUCUCUCUCCACUAAGGCCCAUAUGGCCCAUUACUUCUCCCAGGGGGGUUCCGGUAACCCUCCGGCUCUCCGGUUUUUCUCCGAAAUCACCCGGAACACUUCCGGUGUCCGAAUAUAGCCGUCCAAUAUAUCAAUCUUUAUGUCUCGACCAUUUCGAGACUCCUCGUCAUGUCCGUGAUCACAUCCGGGACUCCGAACAAACUUCGGUACAUCAAAAUGCAUAAACUCAUAAUAUAACUGUCAUCGAAACCUUAAGCGUGCGGACCCUACGGGUUCGAGAACAAUCUAGACAUGACCGAGACACGUCUCCGGUCAAUAAUCAAUAGCGGGACCUGGAUGCCCAUAUUGGUUCCUACAUAUUCUACGAAGAUCUUUUAUCGGUCAGACCGCAUAACAACAUACGCUGUUCCCUUUGUCAUUGGUAUGUUACUUGCCCGAGAUUCGAUCGUCGGUAUUCUAUACCUAGUUCAAUCUCGUUACCGGCAAGUCUCUUUACUCGUUCUGUAAUACAUCAUCCCACAACUAACUCAUUAGUUGCAAUGCUUGCAAGGCUUAAGUGAUGUGCAUUACCGAGAGGGCCCAGAGAUACCUCUCCGACAAUCGGAGUGACAAAUCCUAAUCUCGGAAUACGCCAACCCAACAUGUACCUUUGGAGACACCUGUAGAGCUCCUUUAUAAUCACCCAGUUACGUUGUGACGUUUGGUAGCACACAAAGUGUUCCUCUGGCAAACGGGAGUUGCAUAAUCUCAUUAGUCAUAGGAACAUGUAUAAGUCAUGAAGAAAGCAAUAGCAACAUACUAAACGAUCGGGUGCUAAGCUAAUGGAAUGGGUCAUGUCAAUCAGAUCAUUCAACUAAUGAUGUGAUCCCGUUAAUCAAAUAACAACUCUUUGUCCAUGGUUAGGAAACAUAACCAUCUUUGAUUAACGAGCUAGUCAAGUAGAGGCAUACUAGUGACACUCUGUUUGUCUAUGUAUUCACACAUGUAUUAUGUUUCCGGUUAAUACAAUUCUAGCAUGAAUAAUAAACUUUUAUCAUGAUGUAAGGAAAUAAAUAAUAACUUUAUUAUUGCCUCUAGGGCAUAUUUUCUUCAGUCUUCACCGCCGUCGAUCACCCACGCCGAGCUCAUCGCCGGCACCACCGUGGUGAGCCUCUUGUUCUUAUCUUCUUUCUGAAAGGAAAAAAUAUUCUUACUUGUAUGUUUACAUAGAUACUUGUAUUAUUUUUUUACUUUUAUUAUUGCAUCUUAUAUAGUGCGAUGGUUUUGGUAUCCGCCCCCGUCGUCCCUCGUCCUGUCUAUGAUUCGGAUGUGGUAUAUAUAUUAUGUUUAUAACUAUUGGUUCAUUUAUUGUUUAUGAAAAUUAUGCCGACCAACGUGACAUAGAUUUUUUUAUGUAGGAUGUAUGUGAAUCGGAAAUUCCAGCCGAUCCUAUUGUCGAGAGAUUAAAUUUAGUUGAAGAAUAAAACGAUUUGUUGAAGGAAAAAAUAAUAAAAAUUGAGGAGGAGAAGAUGAUAUUGGAGUUGCAUGUUGCGGAUGUCGUCGAUGAUCACAAGAUCAAGAUGGAUGCAAUGCGCUUGAAGAUUAGAAAGAUUAGAAAAUAUGCCAUUCAUACCGAGGCUUGGUAUCAUUAUGCCGUUGGAUCAAUUGUUACCUUGGUUGCGAUUAUGAUCGCAUUUGUUUUCACAUUGAAAUGUUUUACAUAGUUUCAAUGUAUGGUUUAAUUAAUUAGAUGCUCUGAAGAGCUAUAUGUUGUUAGAUGAGAACUAUGUAUGUACUUUGGUUUUAAUGUGAUGAUGAACUUCUAUUAAUUUGGACACUUAAUUAUAUAUAACGCACGCAGAUGAACCGUCAAUGGAUGUACGGUGACAGACACGCCUCCGAGUACAUUAAGGGCGUGCAUGAGUUUCUCGAUGCGACUGAGGCAAACAAGCAGAAUGGUUUUAUAUGUUGUCCAUGCACUGAAUGUGGGAAUACGCGGUCUUAUUCUAACCGGAAAAUCCUUCACUCCCACCUGCUUUACAAGGGUUUCAUGACACACUAUAAUGUUUGGACGAGGCACAAAGAAAUAGGGGUUAUGAUGGAAGACGGCGAAGAAGAAGAGUACGAUGACAAGUAUGUGCCCCCUGAAUACAGUGAUGCUGCAACAGGGGGAGCUGGUGAAGAUCAAGAGGAACCAGACGAUGUGCCCAAUGAUGCUGCAACAGGUGAAGCUGCUAAAGAUCAAGAGGAACCAGAUGAUGUGCCCAAUGAUGACGAUCUCCGCCGGGUCAUUGUCGAUGCAAGGACGCAAUGCGAAAGUCAAAAGGAGAAGCUGAAGUUCGAUCGCAUGUUAGAGAAUCACAAAGAAGGGUUGUACCCCAAUUGCGAAGAUGGCAACACAAAGCUCGGUACGGUACUGGAAUUGCUGCAAUGGAAGGCAGAGAAUGCUGUGGCUGACAAAGGAUUUGAGAAGCUACUGAAAAUAUUGAAGAAGAAGCUUCCAAAGGAUAACGAAUUGCCUGACAGUACAUACGCAGCAAAGAAGGUCGUAUGCCCUCUAGGAUUGGAGGUGGAGAAGAUACAUGCAUGCCCUAAUGACUGCAUCCUCUACCGCGGUGCAUACAAGGAUCUGAACGCAUGCCCGGUAUGCGGUGCAUUGCGGUAUAAGAUCAGACGAGAUGCCCCUGGUGAUGUUGACGGCGAGCCCCCCCAGGAAGAGGGUUCCUGCGAAGGUGAUGUGGUAUGCUCCUAUAAUACCACGGUUGAAACGUUUGUUCAAAAACGAAGAGCAUGCCAAGUUGAUGCGAUGGCACAGUGAGGACCAUAAGAAAGACGGGAAGUUGAGAGCACCCGCUAACGGGUCGCAGUGGAGAAAAGUCGAGAGAAAGUACUGGGAUGAGUUUGCAAAGGACCCAAGGAACGUAUGGUUUGCUUUAAGCACGGAUGGCAUUAAUCCUUUUGGGGAGCAGAGCAGCAAUCACAGCACCUGGCCCGUGACUCUAUGUAUGUAUAACCUUCCUCCUUGGAUGUGCAUGAAGCGGAAGUUCAUUAUGAUGCCAGUUCUCAUCCAAGGCCCUAAGCAACCCGGCAACGACAUUGAUGUGUACCUAAGGCCAUUAGUUGAAGAACUUUUACAGCUGUGGAAUGGAAAUGGUGUACGUACGUGGGAUGAGCACAUACAGGAGGAAUUUAACCUAAAGGCGUUGCUGUUCGUGACCAUCAACGAUUGGCCUGCUCUCAGUAACCUUUCAGGACAGACAAACAAAGGAUACCACGCAUGCACACACUGUUUAGAUGACACUGAAAGUAUAUACCUGGACAAAUGCAGGAAGAAUGUGUACCUGGGCCAUCGUCGAUUUCUUCCGACCAACCAUCAAUGUCUAAAGAAAGGCAAGCAUUUCAAAGGCGAGACAGAUCACCGGAAGAAGCCCGCCAUGCGUACCGGUGAUCACGUACUUGCUAUGGUCAAUGAUUUACACGUAAUAUUUGGAAAGGGUCCCGGUGGACUAGCUGUUCCUAAUGACGCUGAGGGACACACACCCAUGUGGAAGAAGAAAUCUAUAUUUUGGGACCUACCCUACUGGAAAGACCUAGAGGUCCUCUCUUCAAUCGACGUGAUGCACGUGACGAAGAACCUUUGCGUGAACCUGCUAGGCUUCUUGGGUGUGUAUGGGAACACAAAAGAUACACCCGAGACACGGGAGGACCUACAACGUUUGCACAAAAAAGAUAGCAUGCCUCCGAAGCAGUAUAAAGGUCCUGCCAGCUACGCUCUUACGAAAGAAGAGAAAGAAAUCUUCUUUGAAUGCCUGCUCGAUAUGAAGGUCACGACUGGCUUCUCAUCGAAUAUAAAGGGAAUAAUAAAUAUGCUAGAGAAAAAGUUUCAGAACCUAAAGUCUCAUGACUGCCACGUGAUUAUGACGCAACUGCUUCCGGUUGCAUUGAGGGGGCUUCUACCGGAAAACGUCCGAUUAGCCAUUGUGAAGCUAUGUGCAUUCCUCAAUGCAAUCUCUUAGAAGGUGAUCGAUCCAGAAAUCAUACCAAGGCUAAGGAGUGAUUGUUGGGGCAUGUAGUAAUUUCAAAAAAAUUCCUACGCACACGCAAGAUCAUGGUGAUGCAUAGCAACGAGAGGGGAGAGUGUUGUCUACGUACCCUCGUAGAUCGACAGCGGAAGCGUUAUGACAACGCGGUUGAUGUAGUCAUACGUCUUCACGGCCCGACCGAUCAAGCACCAAAACUAUGGCACCUUCGAGUUUUAGCACACGUUCAGCUCGAUGACGAUCCCCGGACUCCGAUCCAGCAAAGUGUCGGGGAAGAGUUCCGUCAGCACGACGGCGUGGUGAUGAUCUUGAUGAUCUACCGUCGCAGGGCUUCGCCUAAGUACUGCUACAAUAUUAUCGAGGAGUAUGGUGGAAGGGAGCACCGCACAUGGCUAAGAAAAUGAUCACGAGGAUCAACUUGUGUGUCUAGAGGUGCCCCCUUGCCCCCGUAUAAAGGAGCAAAGGGGGGAGGCCGGCCGGCCCUUGGGCGCGCAUAGGAGGAGGAGUCCUCCUCCUAGUAGGAGUAGGACUCCCCUCUUUCCUACUCCUACUAGGAGGGGGAAAGGAAAGGGGAGAGGCAGAAGGAAAGGGGGGCGUCGCCCCCCCUCUCCUAGUCCAAUUCGGACCAGAGGGGGAGGUGGCGCGCGGCCCACCCUGGCCGCCCCUCUCUCUCUCUCUCUCUCCACUAGGGCCCACCCUGGCACUCCGGUUUUCUCCGAAAUCACCCGGAACACUUCCAGUGUCCGAAUAUAGCUGUCCAAUAUAUCAAUCUUUAUGUCUCGACCAUUUCAAGACUCCUCGUCAUGUCCGUGAUCAUAUCCGGGACUCCGAACAAACUUCGGUACAUCAAAAUAUAUAAACUCAUAAUGAAACUGUCAUCGUAACGUUAAGCGUGCGGACCCUACGGGUUCGAGAACAAUGUAGACAUGACCGAGACAUGUCUCCGGUCAAUAACCAAUAGCGGAACCUGGAUGCUCAUAUUGGUUCCCACAUAUUCUACGAAGAUCUUUAUCGGUCAGACCGCAUAACAACAUACUUUGUUCCCUUUGUCAUCGGUAUGUUACUUGCCCGAGAUUCGAUCGUCGGUAUCUCAAUACCUAGUUCAAUCUCGUUACCGGCAAGUCUCUUUACUCGUUUCGUAAUACAUCAUCUUGCAACUAUCUCAUUAGUUGCAAUGCUUGCAAGGCUUAUGUGAUGUGCAUUACCAAGAAGGCCCAGAGAUACCUCUCCGACAAUCGGAGUGACAAAUCCUAAUCUCGAAAUACGCCAACCCAACAUGUACCUUUGGAGACACCUGUAGAGCUCCUUUAUAAUCACCCAGUUACAUUGUGACGUUUGGUAGCACACAAAGUGUUCCUCUGGUAAACGGGAGUUGCAUAAUCUCAUAGUCAUAGGAACAUGUAUAAGUCAUGAAGAAAGCAAUAGCAACAUACUAAACGAUCGGGUGCUAAGCUAAUGGAAUGGGUCAUGUCAAUCACAUCAUUCUUCUAAUGAUGUGAUCCCGUUAAUCAAAUGACAACACAUGUCUAUGGUUAGGAAACAUAACCAUCUUUGAUUAACGAGCUAGUCAAGUAGAGGCACACUAGUGACGUUUAGUUUGUCUAUGUAUUCACACAAGUAUUAUGUUUCCGGAUAAUACAAUUCUAGCAUGAAUAAUAAACUUUUAUCAUGAUAUAAGGAAAUAAAUAAUAACUUUAUUAGUGCCUCUAGGGCAUAUUUCCUUCAGUCUCCCACUUGCACUAGAGUCAAUAAUCUAGAUUACACAGUAAUGAUUCUAACACCCAUGGAGCUUUGGUGCUGAUCAUGUUUUGCUCGUGGAAGAGGCUUAGUCAAUGGGUCUGCUACAUUCAGAUCCGUAUGUAUCUUACAAAUCUCUAUGUCUCCCACCUGGACUAGAUCCCGGAUGGAAUUGAAGCGUCUCUUGAUGUGCUUGGUUCUCUUGUGAAAUCUGGAUUCCUUUGCCAAGGCAAUUGCACCAGUAUUGUCACAAAAGAUUUUCAUUGGACCUGAUGCACUAGGUAUGACACCUAGAUCGGAUAUGAACUCUUUCAUCUAGACUCCUCCGUUUGCUGCUUCCGAAGCAGCUAUGUACUCCACUUCACAUGUAGAUCCCGCCACAACGCUUUGUUUAGAACUGCACCAACUGACAACUCCACCGUUUAAUGUAAACACGUAUCCGGUUUGCGAUUUAGAAUCGUCCGGAUCAGUGUUAAAGCUUGCAUCAACGUAACCCUCUUUGUCACCUCCAUAUAUGAGAAACAUAUCCUUAGUCCCUUUCAGGUAUUUCAGGAUGUUCUUGACCGCUAUCCAGUGAUCCACUCCUGGAUUACUUUGGUACCUCCCUGCUAGACUUAUAGCAAGACAUACAUCAGGUCUGGUACACAGCAUUGCAUACAUGAUAGAGCCUAUGGCUGAAGCAUAGGGAACAUCUUUCAUUUUCUCUCUAUCUUCUGCAGUGGUCGGGCAUUGAGUCUUACUCAAUUUCACCUGCAAGAAUCCUUUCUUUGCUUGAUCCAUUUUGAACUUCUUGAAAACUUUGUCAAGGUAUGUGCUUUGUGAAAGUCCAAUUAAGUGUCUUGAUCUAUCUCUAUAGAUCUUAAUGCCCAAUAUGUAAGCAGCUUCACCGAGGUCUUUCAUUGAAAAACUCUUAUUCAAGUAUCCCUUUAUGCUAUCCAGAAAUUCUAUAUCAUUUUUGAUUAGUAAUAUGUCAUCUACACAUAAUAUCAGAAAUGCUACAGAGCUCCCACUCACUUUCUUGUAAAUACAGGCUUCUCCAAAAGUCUGUACAAAACCAAAUGCAUUGAUCACAUUAUCAAAGCGUUUAUUCCAACUCCGAGAGGCUUGCACCAGUCCAUAAAUGGAUCGCUGGAGCUUGCACACUUUGUUAGCUCCCUUUGGAUCGACAAAACCUUCUUGCUGCAUCAUAUACAACUCUUCUUCCAGAAAUCCAUUCAGGAAUGCAGUUUUGACAUCCAUCUGCCAAAUUUCAUAAUCACAAAAUGCGGCAAUUGCUAACAUGAUUCGGACAGACUUAAGCAUCGCUACGGGUGAGAAGGUCUCAACGUAGUCAAUCCCUUGAACUUGUCGAAAACCUUUUGUGAAAAGUCGAGCUUUGUAGACAGUAACAUUACCGUCAACGUCAGUCUUCUUCUUGAAGAUCCAUUUAUUCUCAAUUGCUUGCCGAUCUUUGGGCAAGUCAACCUAAGUCCACACUUUGUUCUCAUACAUGGAUCCCAUCUCAGAUUUCAUGGCUUCAAGCCAUUUUGCGGAAUUUGGGCUCACCAUCGCUUCUCCAUAGUUCGUAGGUUCAUCAUGAUCUAGUAGCAUGACUUCCAGAAUAGGAUUACCGUACCACUCUGGUGCGGAUCUUACUCUGGUUGAUCUACGAGAUUCAGUAGUAUCUUGUUCUGAAGUUUCAUGAUCAUCAUCAUUACCUUCCUCACUAAUUGGUGUAGGUGUCACAGAAACCGGUUUCUGUGAUGUAAUACUUUCCAAUAAGGGAGCAGGUAUAGUUACCUCAUCAAGUUCUACUUUCCUCCCACUCACUUCUUUUGAGAGAAACUCCUUCUCUAGAAAGUUUCCGAAUUUAGCAACAAAAGUCUUGCCUUCGGAUCUGUGAUAGAAGGUGUAUCCAACAGUUUCCUUUGGAUAUCCUAUGAAGACACAUUUCUCUGAUUUGGGCUCGAUCUUAUCGGGAUGAAGCUUUUUCACAUAAGCAUCGCAACCCCAAACUUUCAGAAACGACAACUUUGGUUUCUUGCCAAACCACAGUUCAUAAGGCGUCGUCUCAACGGAUUUUGAUGGUUCCCUAUUUAAUUUGAAUGCGGUCGUCUCUAAAGCAUAACCCCAAAAUGAUAGCGGUAAAUCAGUAAGAGACAUCAUAGAUCGCACCAUAUCUAGUAAAGUACGAUUAUGAUGUUCGGACACACCAUUACGCUGUGGUGUUCCGGGUGGCGUGAGUUGCGAAACUAUUCCGCAUUGUUUCAAAUGUACACCAAACUCAUAACUCAAAUAUUCUCCUCCACGAUCAGAUCGUAGGAAUUUUAUUUUCUUGUUACGAUGAUUUUCAACUUCACUCCAAAAUUCUUUAAACUUUUCAAAUGUUUCAGACUUAUGUUUCAUUAAGUAGAUAUACCCAUAUCUGCUUAAGUCAUCUGUGAAGGUGAGAAAAUAACGAUAUCCGCCAUGAGCCUCAACAUUCAUCGGACCACAUACAUCUGUAUGUAUGAUUUCCAACAAAUCUGUUGCUCUCUCCAUAGUACCGGAGAACGGUGUUUUGGUCAUCUUGCCCAUAAGGCACGGUUCCCAAGUACCAAGUGAUUCAUAAUCAAGUGGUUCCAAAAGUCCAUCAGUAUGGAGUUUCUUCAUGCGCUUUACACCGAUAUGACCUAAACGGCAGUGCCACAAAUAAGUUGCACUAUCAUUAUCAACUCUGCAUCUUUUGACUUCAACAUUAUCAAUAUGUGUGUCACUACUAUCGAGAUUUAAUAAGAAUAGACCACUCUUCAAGGGUGCAUGACCAUAAAAGAUAUUACUCAUAUAAAUAGAACAACCAUUAUUCUCUGAUUUAAAUGAAUAACCGUCUCGCAUCAAACAAGAUCCACAUAUAAUGUUCAUGCUCAACGCUGGCACCAAAUAACAAUUAUUUAGGUCUAAUACUAAUCCCGAAGGUAGAUGUAGAGGUACGUGCCGACCGCGAUCACAUCGACUUUGGAACCAUUUCCCACGCGCAUCGUCACCUCGUCCUUAGCCAAUCUUCACUUAAUCCGUAGUCCCUGUUUCGAGUUGCAAAUAUUAGCAACAGAACCAGUAUCAAAUAUCCAGGUGCUACUACGAGCAUUAGUAAGGUACACAUCAAUAACAUGUAUAUCAUAUAUACCUUUGUUCACCUUGCCAUCCUUCUUAUCCGCCAAAUACUUGGGGCAGUUCCGCUUCCAGUGACUAGUCUAUUUGCAGUAGAAGCACUCAGUCUCAGGCUUAGGUCCAGACUUGGGUUUCUUCUCUUGAGCAGCAAUUUGCUUGCUGUUCUUCUUGAAGUUCGCCUUCUUCUUCCCUUUACCCUUUUUCUUGAAACUGGUGAUUUUGUUAACCAUCAACACUUGAUGCUCCUUUUUGAUUUCUACCUCCGCAGCCUUUAGCAUCGCGAAGAGCUCGGGAAUUGUCUUAUUCAUCCCUUGCAUAUUAUAGUUCAUCACGAAGCUUUUGUAGCUUGGUGGCAGUGAUUGGAGAAUUCUGUCAAUGACGCAAUCAUCUGGAAGAUUAACUCCCAAUUGAAUCAAGUGAUUAUUAUACCCAGGCAUGUUGAGUAUAUGCUCACUGACAGAACUAUUCUCCUCCAUCUUGUAGCUAUAGAACUUAUUGGAGACUUCAUAUCUCUCAAUCCGGGCAUUUGCUUGAAAUAUUAACUUCAACUCCUGGAACAUCUCAUAUGCUCCAUGACGUUCAAAACGUCGUUGAGUCCCGAUUCUAAGCCGUAAAGCAUGGCACACUGAACUAUCGAGUAGUCAUCAGCUUUGCUCUGCCAGACAUUCAUAACAUCUGGUGUUGCUCCAGCAGCAGGCCUGGCACCCAGCGGUGCUUCCAGGACGUAAUUCUUCUGUGCAGCAAUGAGGAUAAUCCACAAGUUAUGGACCCAGUCCGUGUAAUUGCUACCAUCAUCUUUCAACUUUGCUUUCUCAAGGAACGCAUUAAAAUUCAACGGAACAACAGCACGGGCCAUCUAUCUACAUUCAAACAUAAACAAGCAAGAUACUAUCAGGUACUAAGUUCAUGAUAAAUUUAAGUUCAAUUAAUCAUAUUACUAAAGAACUCCCACUUAGAUAGACAUCCCUCUAAUCCUCUAAGUGAUUACGUGAUCCAAAUCAACUAAACCAUGUCCGAUCAUCAUGUGAGAUGGAGUAGCUUCAUUGGUGAACAUCACUAUGUUGAUCAUAUCUACUAUAUGAUUCACGCCCGACCUUUCGGUCUCCGUGUUCCGAGGUCAUAUCUGUAUAUGCUUGGCUUGUCAAGUAUAACCUGAGUAUUCCGCGUGUGCAACUGUUUUGCACCCGUUGUAUUUGAACGUAGAGCUUAUCACACCCGAUCAUCACGUGGUGUCUCAGCACGAAGAACUUUCGCAACGGUGCAUACUCAGGGAGAACACUUCUUGAUAAUUAGCGAGAGAUCAUCUUAAAAUGCUACCGUCAAUCAAAGCAAGAUAAGAUGCAUAAAAUAUAAACAUCACAUGCAAUCAAUAUAAGUGAUAUGAUAUGGCCAUCAUUAUCUUGUGCCUGCGAUCUCCAUCUUCGAAGCACCGUCAUGAUCACCAUCAUCACCGGCCCGACACCUUGAUCUCCAUCGUAGCAUCGUUGUUGUCUCGCCAAUCUUAUGCUUCUACGACUAUCGCUACCGCUUAGUGAUAAAGUAAAGCAUUACAGGGCGAUUGCAUUGCAUACAAUAAAGCGACAACCAUAUGGCUCCUGCCAGUUGCCGAUAACUCGGUUACAAAACAUGAUCAUCUCAUACAAUAAAAGUUAGCAUCAUGUAUUGACCAUAUCACAUCACAACAUGCCCUGCAAAAACAAGUUAGACGUCCUCUACUUUGUUGUUGCAAGUUUUACGCGGCUGCUACGGGCUUUAAGCAAGAACCAAUCUUACCUACGCAUCAAAAACCACAACGAUAUUUGUCAAGUUGGUGUUGUUUUAACCUUCGCAAGGACCGGACGUAGCCACACUAGGUUCAACUAAAGUUGGAGAAACUGACACCCGCCAGCCACCUGUGUGCAAACCACGUCGGUAGAACCAGUGUCGCGUAAGCGUACGCGUAAUGUCGGUCCGGGCCGCUUCAUCCAACAAUACCGCCGAACCGAAGUAUGACAUGCUGGUAAGCAGUAUGACUUAUAUCGCCCACAACUCACUUGUGUUCUACUCGUGCACAACAUCAACGCAUAAAACCUAGGCUCGGAUGCCACUGUUGGGGAACGUAGUAAUUUCAAAAGAUUUCCUACGCACACGCAAGAUCAUUGUGAUGCAUAGCAACGAGAGGGGAGAGUGUUGUCUACAUACCCUCGUAGACCGAUAGCGGAAGCGUUAUGACAACGCGGUUGAUGUAGUCGUACGUCUUCACGGCUCGACCGAUCAAGCACCGAAACUACGGCACCUCCGAGUUUUAGCACAUGUUCAGCUCGAUGACGAUCCCCGGACUUCGAUCCAGCAAAGUGUCGGGGAAGAGUUCCAUCAGCACGACAACAUGGUGAUGAUCUUGAUGUUCUACCGUCCCAAGCCUUCGCCUAAGCACCGCUACAAUAUUAUCGAGGAGUAUGGUGGAAGGGAGGACCGCACACGGCUAAGAAAACGAUCACGAGGAUCAACUUGUGUGUCUAGAGGUGCCCCCUUGCCCCCGUAUAUAAAGGAGCAAAGGGGGGAGGCCGGCCAGCCCUUGGGCGCGCCAAGGAGGAGGAGUCCUCCUCCUAGUAGGAGUAGGACUCCCCUCUUUCCUACUCCUACUAGGAGGGGGAAAGGAAAGGGGAGAGGGAGAAGGAAAGGGGGGCGCCGCCCCCCUCUCCUAGUCCAAUUCGAACCAGAGGGGGAGGGGGCGUGCGGCCCACCCUAGCUGCCCCUCUCUCUCUCCAAUAGGGCCCAUAAAGCCCAUUACUUCUCCCGGGGGGUUCCGGUAACCCUUCGGCACUCCGGUUUUCUCCGAAAUCACCCGGAACACUUCCGGUGUCCGAAUAUAGCCGUCCAAUAUAUCAAUCUUUAUGUAUCAACCAUUUCGAGACUCCUCGUCAUGUCCGUUAUCAUAUCCGGGACUCCGAACAAACUUCGGUACAUCAAAAUAUGUAAACUCAUAAUGAAACUGUCAUCGCAACGUUAAGCGUGCGGACCCUAUGGGUUCGAGAACAAUGUAGACAUGACCGAGACAUGUCUCCGGUCAAUAACCAAUAGCGGAACCUGGAUGCUCAUAUUGGCUCCCACAUAUUCUAUGAAGAUCUUUAUCGGUCAGACCACAUAACAACAUACUUUGUUCCCUUAGUCAUCGGUAUGUUACUUGCCCGAGAUUCGAUCGUCGGUAUCUCAAUACCUAGUCAAUCUCGUUACCGGCAAGUCUCUUUACUCGUUUCGUAAUACAUCAUCUUGCAACUAACUCAUUAGUUGCAAUGCUUGCAAGGCUUAUGUGAUGUGCAUUACCGAGAAGGCCCAGAGAUACCUCUCUGACAAUCAGAGUGACAAAUCCUAAUCUCGAAAUACGCCAACCCAACAUGUAACUUUGGAGACACCUGCAGAGCUUCUUUAUAAUCACCCAGUUACGUUGUGACGUUUGGUAGCACACAAAGUGUUCCUCCGGUAAACGGGAGUUGCAUAAUCUCAUAGUAAUAGGAACAUGUAUAAGUCAUGAAGAAAGCAAUAGCAACAUACUAAACGGUCGGGUGCUAAGCUAAUGGAAUGGGUCAUGUCAAUCACAUCAUUCUCCUAAUGAUAUGAUCCUGUUAAUCAAAUGACAACACAUGUCUAUGGUUAGGAAACAUAACCAUCUUCGAUUAACGAGCUAGUCAAGUAGAGGCACACUAGUGACAUUUAGUUUGUCUAUGUAUUCACACAAGUAUUAUGUUUCCGGAUAAUACAAUUCUAGCAUGAAUAAUAAACUUUUAUCAUGAUAUAAGGAAAUAAAUAAUAACUUUAUUAUUGCCUCUAGGGCAUAUUUCCUUUAGUGAUGUGGUGCAAUGUCUUGUCAGUUUCGAGCUGGUGUUCCCACCAUCCUUCUUCAAUAUCAUGACGCACGUCCUAGUUCAUCUAGUCGACGAGAUUGUCAUUCUGGGGCCCGUAUUUCUACACAAUAUGUUCCCCUUUGAGAGGUUCAUGGGAGUCCUAAAGAAAUAUGUCCGUAACCGCGCUAGGCCAGAAGGAAGCAUCUCCAUGGGCCAUCAAACAGAGGAUGUUAUCGGGUUUUGUGUUGACUUCAUUCCUGGCCUUAAGAAUAUAGGUCUCCCUAAAUCGCAGUAUGAGGGGAGACUGACUGGAAAAGGCACUCUUGGAAGUGACUCAAUAAUAUGCAGGGAGGGAUAUUCUUGGUCUCAAGCACACUACACAGUUCUACAGAACUCUACCUUGGUGACCCCGUAUGUCGAUGAACACAAGAACAGUCUGCGCUUCAAACACCCAGAGCAGUGCGACGACUGGAUUACAUGUGAACACAUCGGGACUUUCAGCAGUUGGUUGGAAACACGUCUCAGAGGUGACAACACUGUUUGUGAUGAGCUGUACUUGUUGUCCAGGGGACCAUCUUUGACUCUAUUGACUUACAAAGGAUACGAGAUAAAUGGGAAUACAUUUUACACGAUCGCCCAAGAUCGAAAGAGCACCAACCAAAACAGCGAUGUCCGCUUUGAUGCAGCAACUGAGAGCGGAAAGGACACAUAUUAUGGUUACAUAGUGGACAUAUGGGAACUUGACUACGGACAUGAUUUUAAGGUCCCUUUGUUUAAGUGCAAAUGGGUCAAUCUGUCAGGAGGCGGGGUACAGGUAGACCCACAGUACGGAAUGACAACAGUGGAUCUGAAAAAUCUUGGGUACACUGACGAACCGUUCGUCCUAGCCAAUGAUGUGGCACAUGUUAGCUAUGUGAAGGACAUGUCUACCAAACCGACAAAAAGAGAAGAUAAGGAAGCGAAUACAUCAUACGAUGAGCCAAAGUGCCACAUAGUUCUUUCAGGAAAAAGGGAUAUCCUGGGAGUGGAGGGCAAGACAGACAUGUCUGAAGAUUAUGAAAAGUUUCAUGAAAUUCCUCCCUUCAAUGUCAAGGCUGGCCCAAGCAUCCUGAUAAACGAUGAAGAUUAUCCAUGGUUACGGCGCAAUAAGCAAAUGACACAAGCGAAGAAAAAGUGAAGACUUUCUCCCGCAACUAUUAUGAUGAUACCAUGUCAACUUUGUAACACACGACUAUGCUAUGCCAACUUUUUCAGAGUUCAUUUGAAAACUAUGAAUUUAGGUCGAAUUUUCUGUAUAGGUGCAUCUAUGUUCAUUUUUUUAGUAAAGUUAAUCACAAACUUGUGAUUCACACAAAUUUCAAAGAAUUCAAAUCUUAACUAUUCAAAUUUGAAAACCAAUGGCACUUACAGAAAGUUUAUAAUUUUUCUAAAACUAAUGGCACUAACAAAAAGAUUAUAAUUUUGCUGACCUAAAAGCAAAACGAAAUAAAAAUAAAGCAAAAAACAAAAGAAAAAUAAAUAAUGCAGAAAACAAAACAAAAAUCUAGAAAAAAAUAAAAAUAGCAACAAUAAGUAUUUUUUGUAAAUAGAAACAAAAUAAAAUAAAUAAAGCAACAAAGAAAACAAAAAAACUAAAAAAGUGUUUUCAAUUUUGAAAACUAAUGGCACUAACAGAAAGUUUAUAAUUUUUCUAAAACUAAAAGCAAAAAGAAUUAAAAAUAAAGCAAAAAACAANNNNNNNNNNNNNNNNNNNNNNNNNNNNNNNNNNNNNNNNNNNNNNNNNNNNNNNNNNNNNNNNNNNNNNNNNNNNNNNNNNNNNNNNNNNNNNNNNNNNNNNNNNNNNNNNNNNNNNNNNNNNNNNNNNNNNNNNNNNNNNNNNNNNNNNNNNNNNNNNNNNNNNNNNNNNNNNNNNNNNNNNNNNNNNNNNNNNNNNNNNNNNNNNNNNNNNNNNNNNNNNNNNNNNNNNNNNNNNNNNNNNNNNNNNNNNNNNNNNNNNNNNNNNNNNNNNNNNNNNNNNNNNNNNNNNNNNNNNNNNNNNNNNNNNNNNNNNNNNNNNNNNNNNNNNNNNNNNNNNNNNNNNNNNNNNNNNNNNNNNNNNNNNNNNNNNNNNNNNNNNNNNNNNNNNNNNNNNNNNNNNNNNNNNNNNNNNNNNNNNNNNNNNNNNNNNNNNNNNNNNNNNNNNNNNNNNNNNNNNNNNNNNNNNNNNNNNNNNNNNNNNNNNNNNNNNNNNNNNNNNNNNNNNNNNNNNNNNNNNNNNNNNNNNNNNNNNNNNNNNNNNNNNNNNNNNNNNNNNNNNNNNNNNNNNNNNNNNNNNNNNNNNNNNNNNNNNNNNNNNNNNNNNNNNNNNNNNNNNNNNNNNNNNNNNNNNNNNNNNNNNNNNNNNNNNNNNNNNNNNNNNNNNNNNNNNNNNNNNNNNNNNNNNNNNNNNNNNNNNNNNNNNNNNNNNNNNNNNNNNNNNNNNNNNNNNNNNNNNNNCAAAAGAAAAUAAAUAAGACAGAAAACAAAACAAAAAAACUGGAAAAAAAACUAUUUUUCUAGUAAAGUUAAUCACAAACUUGUGAUUCACAUAAAUUUUAAAGAAUUCAAAUUUUAACUAUUUAAAUUUGAAAACUAAUGGCACUAACAGAAAGUUUAUAAUUUUUCUAAAACUAAAAGAAAAAAGAAUAAAAAAUAAAGCAAGAAUCAAAAGAAAAUAAAUAAUUCAAAAAAAAACAAAUGCUGGAAAAAAUAAAAAUGCCACCUAUUGGGCCACACGGCCUGCAUACGACUAGAAACCCAUAUGUACAUGGGCCAGGAUGCAGGCCCGCAGGCCCAAUAGGUCCAACAAGGCAGUGACAAGGGCAGGCAAGUAUUGCCUGCAUAUUAGAGAGGAGCUCAGCACCUGAGCCGCAAUGCAGCUUAUAAACAGGUGCUGAGCUCUCUCAGCUAGCGAGGUGGGACUAAACUUCCCACCGCACCGCGCCAGGCCUUUGGUCUCGGUUGGUGGCUCCAACCGGGACUAAAGGGGGCCAUUGGUCCUGGUUGGUGGCUCCAACCGAGACCAAUGCCCCCCUUUAGUCCCGGUUGGUGCCACCAACCGGGACCAAAGGCCGUCGCUUCCCGCCCUUUGGGCUGCUGAAAAGAGGCCUUUGGUCCCGGUUGAUGGCACCAACCGGGACUNNNNNNNNNNUCUCCGCCCUGCCCCGACGCGCGUCGCGCGCCCCGGCUCGCCCAUCGUCGUCGCCUUGCCCCGCCCGUCGCCGUCGCCCUGCCCCUCCAUUGGCCCGGCCGGCGCCCCUCCCCUGUUUUUUCAUAUAUGAUAUGCUUGUGUAUAUUGUGUAUAUUGCUUCUUUGUGUAUAUUAUGUAUAUAUGUCAGUAUAUAUAUUGUGUAUAUUGCUUUUUUCAGAUUUUUUUCAUAUAUAUGUUUGUAUUUUGUAUUUUGCUUUUUUAUAAAAAUGUAUACAUGUUUGUAUGUUCUCUGUGUAUAUAUGUUCAUAUAUGCAAAAGUUAGAUUUAAAUAUUUAGAAAAGGAUUAUCUAUAUAUGUUCUCUGAUUUAGUACAUUUUAGGUUAGUUUCAUUUCUAGAAAAGUUUUAUAUAUUUAGGAGAGGAAAAAGGAAAAUAAGAAGAGGAAAAAGGAGAAUAAGAGGAGAGGAAGAAAAGGAAGAGGAGAAGAAGAAAGGAAUAGAGGAGAAGAAGAAAAAAAUAGAAUUUUUUCUAUUUUUUUCUUCUUCUCCUCUAUUCCUUUCUUCUUCUCCUCUUUUUUUCUUCUUUUUUUCUUCGAUCUUCUCCUCUACUCCUUUCUUUUUCUCCUCUUUUUAUUUCUUCUUCGUAUUCUUAUGUUUUAUCGGGUCUGUNNNNNNNNNNNNNNNNNNNNNNNNNNNNNNNNNNNNNNNNNNNNNNNNNNNNNNNNNNNNNNNNNNNNNNNNNNNNNNNNNNNNNNNNNNNNNNNNNNNNNNNNNNNNNNNNNNNNNNNNNNNNNNNNNNNNNNNNNNNNNNNNNNNNNNNNNNNNNNNNNNNNNNNNNNNNNNNNNNNNNNNNNNNNNNNNNNNNNNNNNNNNNNNNNNNNNNNNNNNNNNNNNNNNNNNNNNNNNNNNNNNNNNNNNNNNNNNNNNNNNNNNNNNNNNNNNNNNNNNNNNNNNNNNNNNNNNNNNNNNNNNNNNNNNNNNNNNNNNNNNNNNNNNNNNNNNNNNNNNNNNNNNNNNNNNNNNNNNNNNNNNNNNNNNNNNNNNNNNNNNNNNNNNNNNNNNNNNNNNNNNNNNNNNNNNNNNNNNNNNNNNNNNNNNNNNNNNNNNNNNNNNNNNNNNNNNNNNNNNNNNNNNNNNNNNNNNNNNNNNNNNNNNNNNNNNNNNNNNNNNNNNNNNNNNNNNNNNNNNNNNNNNNNNNNNNNNNNNNNNNNNNNNNNNNNNNNNNNNNNNNNNNNNNNNNNNNNNNNNNNNNNNNNNNNNNNNNNNNNNNNNNNNNNNNNNNNNNNNNNNNNNNNNNNNNNNNNNNNNNNNNNNNNNNNNNNNNNNNNNNNNNNNNNNNNNNNNNNNNNNNNNNNNNNNNNNNNNNNNNNNNNNNNNNNNNNNNNNNNNNNNNNNNNNNNNNNNNNNNNNNNNNNNNNNNGUCACUUGUGGGACGUGGAUGUAGUGUCCGACACCGAUGGCCACAUGUAUCUCACACCCACUAUACUUGCUAUUUAGGGUUUCCUCUACCGCUCGGUGACCCUCGACAACCCUCGUUCCCGAUAAAAAAAAGAGGAAGAAGAAGAAAAAAAGAGGAGAAGAAAGAAUAGAUGAGUUUACUCCUCUAUUCUUUCUUCUCCUCUUUUUUUCUUCUUCCUCUUCUUUUUUUAUCAUUGAAGCGUUGUCGAGGCCACCUCAAACCCUAGAGAAGCAGCGUCGAGGCCACCCCAAACCCUAGAGAAGCAGCGUCGAGGCCACUAAUUAAUAUUAGUUCUACGUUUGCCACUAAUAUAUCCAUCUGUCAUGUUUGAAUAAUAAUUGCCAUGUUGUAAAUAUUUGUAGAAACUAUGGACACCGCCCGAGACGAAGUAUAAGAAGAGUUGUUGGGGGACAUAAUUGCACGAGGAAGUGAUGCCGUCUGCUCGUUGUUUCUCAACAACACCGAUGGUCUGGAAGCAGCUGGCUAUGAUUAUGAUGGCUCCGGUGACCUAAUGCUGGUGCAAGAAGGAGACCGUGAGGACGGCUCCGGUGACCCAAUGCCGGUGCAAGGAGACCGUGAUGACGUCUCCGGUGACCGAACCGAGUCCGGCCAGGUAUAUAUAUUAGUUAAGCUUGUGCUGACUAGCUAAUUGAUGCAUUCAUUGUUUUGGUAUGUACACAUAUUAAUUAAGUCUUUGUUCUUUUUUCUAGCCCUUCGGAUCGAGCACAACUUCGGUAAAGAGACGAGGCCCGAAGAGAAAGUUGAGCUCGGAUGAAAGGUUUGAGAUCAUAGCAAUCGCGACUGACGGCCAACCGAUUGAACCCAUUCGGACAAAGAACGCAUUUGUUGCUCAAUGUGGGGUUCUGGUUAGGGACAAGAUCCCGAUCAGCAUCCAACAAUGGUUAAAGCCGGCUACAGAAGACCCUGAGGUGUCUUAUGUCAAUGAUAUGCAGAAAAAUGAUCUUUGGACUGAGCUGAAGUCAACUUUCACCCUACCACCAGAGGAUGAUCCGGAGAAGCCAGUUAAAGAGCAAUUAAUCAAGUCGUUUGCUCUUAAGAGGAUGGCAGAACUAUUCAUGAGGUGGAAGAAAGAGCUGAAUAAGUUUGUCGAAAAUAAAGAGACACCAGAAUUCAAGGGCAGAUAUGAGAAGAUCAGAGAUCACUGGCCCGCAUUUGUGGCCCACAAGACAUCGGAAAAGAGUAAGAAGAUGUCGGUGACAAACAAGCAAAAUGCUGCGAAGAAGAAGCAUCACCAUCGCACGGGGUCAGGUGGCUACCACGCAGCCCGACCUAAGUGGGCCAAGACUAAGAAUGAUCUAGUUGAUAAAGGGAUCGAACCAGAGACAAUUAACUGGCCAGACCGUUGCCGGACUUGGUUCUUCGGGGCUGGCGGAAACUUGGACCCUGUAUCAGGGAAGUGCAUUUGGAAGGACGAGCAAAUGGAAAUACCAGUCAAGAGGCUUAAGCACUAUAUCGAAGCAGCGCAUCAAGGGACGUUCGUUCCAGACAGAGAGAACGACGAGCUCACAAUGGCCCUCGGGAAUCCUGAGCACCCUGGACGGACACGAGGCACGCCAGGGUCCAUUUCAUGGAAGGCUGGAUUUCCGGACGCAGGCGGUUACAAAUGCCACGAGAGGAGGAAGAAAGUGGAGCAGACCCAACUGCAGGCGCUGCACGCUAGGGCACAAGCGAUAGAGGAACGAGAAGCAAAUCGCAGCAAACGAACUGCCGAAGCUUCCCCUGAAGCUACCUCGCCAUCUCAGCGGAGAAGCAAUGUGGCUUCCACCGAGCUGCUUCAGCCGGAGCAUGUCUUGACGGCUCCUGCCAGCUAUCCCGUGGAUGCUAUCACGGAGUCUCAAAAUUGCCACCUUAUGACGCAAUGGAUUAAUAUGAAGGUCAAGGCGGCUGUUGGCUCUGUUUUUCCUACUGAACCCGGGGCAACUUUUCACUGCGGCCGAUUCCAGAAGGAUAUGCUAGGGUGAUGGUUGAUGAAAUAACGGAGGGAUUUGAGGACCUCCAGCUUGACCACCCUACCGGUGAAGGGGAGACUCGGCUGGGUUCUGCUCUGAAGACUCCAUGCCUAUGGCGGAAGGAGCUCAUCAACCUUCCGAACUAGACGCCUCCGCCUCCUCCUCCUCCUCCGGCGAGUCAGGGCACUCCGCCUCCUCCACCGCCUCCUCCUCCGGCGAGUGACGAUUAGGGCACUCGGCCGGCUCCUUCUCCGGUGCGUGGCGGCACUCCACCUCCUUCUCCGCCUGCGCCGGCGCACCCGAGCAGCCAGCCUCCUCCUUCUCCGCCUCGUCAGCAAGGGCGGAAGAGACCCGCCGCCGCUCCGGCUGCUCCAGCACGUCGUAGUCCUUCUCCUCCGCCUCGUAAUAAAGUAAAGAAGACAUCCACUCUGUCUGCUCUGCCGGCGUCUAGCAGUACAGCCAAAGGCGGGAGGACAUACAGAUUCGGUCCUUCUCUGAAGACUCCAGAGAAGUUACCAUACGAGAGGACCCCGGAGGAGAACGCCGAGAUCGCGCGAGAAGAAGUGAGGAACUUCUUUGAAGGGGUGAAAGCAAAGAAACAUCCACCUCCGGAGGAGAAGGUAGAUCCGGUGAAAGCGAAGCGCACUCUGGCUGCCCUGACAAAACCACCCAAGUCUCUACCGAAAGACAACUAUGAGCACAUUAUUGGAAAGGCAUUUGCCGAAGCGGAGCGGUCGGGAAGUGCCGUCAGCGAUCAAAGGCUGAAAGAACGACGAGCUGGGAAACAAAUUGCCCAGCUCGCCGAACAAGCGAAGCAAUUGCGCCCCCCGCUCAAGGUGCCUAUCGACAUCAUCGCUAGUGAUCCGAGGAUGGUGCCCAGUUAUAGCAAUCUUGGAGAUUACCUGCCCGAUGAUGUACAUUAUGAUUUCAUGGAGGUGCAGAUACAAAGAUACGAGUACGUGAAGCCUCUCGUCAAAGAUGAAAGAUCUCUAUCAACGAUGAUGCGAAGAUUGCAUGAUUGGUACUUGAAAAUCUGCAGAGAGUCUGGGGGGAGGAGUACUUUGUAUGUGAGAGUUAAAAAGGAGCAUGACCUCGUUGGAAUUGAACUGUUGCCUGUUCCAUUUGAGGAGUUCUUUCAGUUUUUCAAUCAAUUGACCCUCGAGAAAGCAACGGUCACCUACUACUGUCUGUAAGUAGUACUACUUCUGUCAUUAAGUCUCUUUAUAUAGCUCAGCUCUUUCAUUGCAUGUAUUUAUAAUUAUCCUCACUAUAUUAUGCAGAUUGAAGAUCGUCGAAUUGAAGAAGAGACAAAUCGUUGAUAUUGGGUUCAUUAACACAAAUCUCAUAGAUGCAACUCAGGUUAGAUUUCAUGCCGCAGAUACCGAGGCCAACUUGCUACGAUCAUUGGUAAUAAAUGAAAACAAAGAUAUAAUACUCUUUCCUUACAACUUCAAGUGAGUGUUACUGUCUUGUGCAUAUUCGGUUUACCUUAUAUAUUAGUCAAGGUUAUAGUAAUGUAAUUGAUGAGUUAUGCAUGCGUGUGCAGUUUUCACUAUAUUCUCCUAGAGAUUAAGCUAGAGCAGGGACUAGUAACCGUCUUAGACUCGAGACGAAAAGAUCCCCAGGACUAUGCGGACAUGACUCAAAUGCUCGAGAAGUAAGUUAAAUCGAUCAUUAUCCACCAUAUCAGCAGCUUUGUUCAAUUCCUGAUAUAUCAAGUAAUUGUUUUCUUUGUCUGGCUGGGUUUGGAGAAAAUUCACCAAAAAAGCUCCGGGACUGCCGAAGAAGCUGCAAUUUAGACACCCGAAAGUAAGUACUAUAGUAGCAUGUUCCUCGCAUCUCCUAGUGAUUCAAGCGCUAGUUUCAUCAAUACCAUUUCGCAUUCUUGCUUAUCAGUUUGAUUGACCUCUAUUUCUUGUAAAGUGGUUGUGGCAGGAACAAGGGAAUGAUUUCUGUGGAUACUACGUUUGCGAGUCCAUCCGCCACAAGACCUGUGAGCGGGGCUACUCUGACGAACAAUAUGAAGUGCGUAAGUAAUAAUAUUCACAAUUUUAUUUUAUUACCAUCAUUUGUGUUGAGUUUCAUUCAUAUAUAUAUAUAUAUAUAUAUAUAUAUAUAUAUAUAUAUAUAUAUAUAUGUAUUGACCCCUUUCUUCAAAUUAGAUGUUUCGGAAGCGGGAUGAACUCCUAGCACCAGCUCGCAUGCGAGAAUUCAAGAGGAAUUGGCGGCACUCUUUCUUGACCACGUGAUCGCUGAAGACGGAGAAUACUAUGUGGACCAUGCGUCCGUAUGUUAGGAGAUUAUAUUUGUAAGAGAUAAUUAUUGUAUAUAUAUGUAGCCGGUAGUGUCAGAUAGAUAUACGAGAACUUGUUGUUCGACCAAUCUCUCGGAGAAGGAGAGGUGGUCGAUAUCACUUCUCUCUGUAUGCAUAUAUGUUCAUGACGAUCUUCUGUUUCCUUCGUUUGCUUACUAGCUAGUUAGCGUGUCUAGUCCUCUCUAUACAUAUGUAUAGUACGUAGCGUCGACCAAGCACGGACAUAAGAGAGGACACUUCUCUCUAUUAAUUAUAGCUAGCUAACACAAUAUAUGAAACACCUAAAUUAACCCCCCAAAACCCCCAAACCCCCCCCCUUUCAAAAAAAAAACAAAAACCCCACCCACAGAAAUGCUGACGCGUGGAUGCCUAUUGGUCCCGGUUGGUGCCACCAACCGGGACCAAAGGCCCUCCGCCUGGGCUCCGCGCACAGGCCGCGUGGAGGCCCAUCUGUCCCGGUUCUGGAUUGAACCGGGACUAAAGGGACAGGGUAUUAGUACUGACCCUUUAGUCCCGGUUCAGGAACUGGGACAAAAAGCCCUUACGAACCGGGACAAUAUGCCCGUUUUCUACUAGUGAAAAGAACAUUUGCAACAUUAACAGCUGAGCAAUCAAAAAGGAUAUUUCUAUGUUACAGUGCAUGUCAUAUUUCUCAUGCACUAUUUUUUUCAGAUUUCUUACUUCUUGUUAUUAAUACUUCAUUAUUCUGAAUUCCUACUUAGUGUUAUUAAUUUAGUAAAGAUAACAUGCAUUGCUGUUUAUUUUUCAAUAAUAAGUAAAGACAGGGAAGAAACUCAUGCGCACACUCUCCAGCUAUAAGAAUAACUAAUGCAAUAAGACACUGAUCGGGGCAUACCAAUAUUUAAGUCUUGUCAGACCACAAUAAGAGAACAAUCAGUCACAUAUUGAUACUUUGGUUUCAGUAAUAAGAAGGAUCACACGUUCGACAUAAAAAAUGAAGUCCAUUUAGUUACUGGAGUUAUAAAUUCAAGGUGAUGCCUUAACUUGCUGCUGGCUUCGAGGUUGUGACCUCCCCUCCCCUUCUUGGUUAUUCCUUUCCCCCCUCUUCGUUUCAUUGAGCUCAUCCCCACUUCUAUUUUCCUCUUCAUCAUCCUGCAACAAAACAACAGAGUUUGAGAUGCAUCAGACUUUCACAAAUCACAACGUAACUCUGGAACUUCAUAUAAUAUUUCUAAUUUCCAUGUAGUAGAGUCCAACCUAUAUACAGAUAUAAUUAGGAUUUGCAUAAUUACUUUCUUCCAUGCAGUACAGUCGGGCAUCUUAGAUCAAACGUCUGCAAGUUCUGCAACCUCAAUAUUGUGGAUCUGCACAAGUAGCAGUUGUAGUGCCCUGCCCACACCUGCUAAUUUGAGGAAGCAAGAACCUCAUUGUAGGACGGACAUAAGGAAUCUUAGCGAAGUAGUAGUGUAGUACUUACAUGCAGACCAUCGCAUCGGUGGCGUCGGGUGCAGGAACUCUACAUAGGUGGCGCAGAGGAAGAACACAUCUGCUAAGGGAGGAGCUUCUACGUUGUUGCGGCGUGGUGGAGUCUUUGUUGCCGGCCGUGUGGAGGACGGAGGAGUCGCCGUCGGCCGCGUGGGGGACGAAUGCCGAGCGCCACAGGAAAGGCGGCCGGGCAGCCGUCGACGGUGAGGCGCGAUGGAGGCGGACGGGAAUCAGGGCCGCAAGGGGCUGUCGGAGGAUCGGCGCCGUAGAGCAGGGCCGUGUGGAGAGGUGGGGAUCAUCACUGGCGAGUAGAAUCACAUGUGCGCAUGGAGGGCGACUGCUCAUGAUGGGUUCGUCCGCCAUGGUGAGGGAACUGAGGGAGGCGGUUUGCUUCACGGGGGAGGGGAGCCAGCUUGUUUUUGGGAACGUCUUGUUUUAGCCCAACCGAUCGUGCAUGCGUGCAGGUUCUUCGAAGGCUACAAACGUGGAGUGGCAUAGUGGGUAAUUAGAACGUAAAAUGCAUUUAGUACGAUGGAGCGAUGUAGACCAUCAUAUCACAUGAUUUGAUGGAUGAGAUGAAUUGGUUCUCCGCUCUUUCGUGCUUUUAUAGGGGUAGUAGAUAGAUGUAAUUGUAUUUUCUUACGUAUUUUGUACAGAUUUACUUUGCACACUACACCAAAUCUCUUAUUUAAUUUCAAUGUUCUAUGCCAUUCUAUAUGUAAUAAAUUUGAUGGGCGCGGCAACGCGCGCCUGUCACGAUUUAGUCAUCACAAAAAUCAGCCUAGGGGAUAAGAUGCCCUUUCACCAACUUGGCAAAGAUGAAACCAUGGUGGUGGGAAAACGAUCAUGCAUGCGGGGAGUAGUGUUGGCUUGUCUACCUUGAUAGAUCUUGCACGGUCUCAACAAAUCCAGCGAGGGUGCAAUUGAAUCAUGCGUANNNNNNNNNNNNNNNNNNNNNNNNNNNNNNNNNNNNNNNNNNNNNNNNNNNNNNNNNNNNNNNNNNNNNNNNNNNNNNNNNNNNNNNNNNNNNNNNNNNNNNNNNNNNNNNNNNNNNNNNNNNNNNNNNNNNNNNNNNNNNNNNNNNNNNNNNNNNNNNNNNNNNNNNNNNNNNNNNNNNNNNNNNNNNNNNNNNNNNNNNNGACCUCACACGUCGAGGACGGAUAAUCUUUUUCAUGUUCUGUUGUUGGGUAUGAAGUGUCUGAUUUUCCAUCCCUUUUUCAUUGUGAGAUCUAGAGGAUGCAUGGCCAUGCUUAUGCUUUGGCUUCAACUUCUUAUACCUCACCAUCCAACCAAACACAUUCCUUUAUUUUGGGCUUAAACAAAAGUGGUUCCGCUUUUUAGUUUAAAGAAUUAAGAACACGGCCGAAGGUACUUUGUAUUUAUGAAACAUCCAUUCUAUAAUAUCAUUAUGUACUUCACAGAAAUUAAAAGAGAAUUGCCACAAGAUAUAACAAUCUAGCUACGCCCAGAUCAGGGGAUGCCCCCUAUCAAUGUGGCUUCUCUGAACCCUAGAUCACGCUGUUCGUGAUGGGUGAUUAGUACAACGACUUCGACAAAUUAUGAUCUUCUGCAUGUUUGUGCUCAAUAUAUCGGCUUCGUUCUUCUUUGGUGCUCGGGCGACGUAACGAUAAUUGGGGAAGCGACAACGAAUUAGGGGAUGUGUAUACAAAUUUCUGUGGACUUGGUUGCGUUUUCACCUUUUGUCAAGGUAUUUUCUCUGCAUUUCCAUUCUUAAUUCAUUUCUUGGUUUACAAAAUCAGAUGAUCUACCAACUAUCUAUCUACCUAUCUAUCUAUCUACUACUCUAUAAAAAAAAGAGGCAGAUCCAAACAAUCAUACCCGUUCAUCUACAAGAUCUAAUGGUUGCUAAUCCUUCGAUCUUUAACCCUACAAGCCACGGAAUUAAGCCAGUAAGGGCAUGUACAAUGGUUCUAUCUUAGCAAUGCCACGUAGGAUAGAUGAUGAGGUGGAGGAGAGAGAACUCAUAAGAAAAGAUUUGUCCUCUCUUAUUUAAGAGAAGACAAGAGGUGAUCUCUUAGCACAAUAUGUCUCACCAUAUUUUUAGGAAUUACUAGUUAUUGAAGAUAAGGCUAAGAUAUGACCCAUUGUAGAUAAAUUUUUUUGUCAUCUCUAAAUCACAUGCAAGACUUAAGAUAAGACUAUCUUAUCAACCAUUGUACAUGCCCUAAUCCUCAACUCGUGACCCUGCCCACCCGUUAAAAAAAAACCGCUGCCCGCUGCGCACGCACGCACGCCCCUCGCUCGCUCGCUCCUCGCCCUUCUCCCGCCGCCCCGGUCCUCGCCCUCCGCCGCCGCCGCUCCGCUCGCCCUCCACCGCCGCCGCUCCGCUCGCACUCCACCGCCGCUCCUCCUCUCCUCCGCCGCCGCCCCGGUCCCCUGGGCCGUCGAGGACGCCGCCUGGACGGCCGUCCGUGGCCGCCUGCUCCGUCCAGCUCCUCCCCCGCCCCCGAGUACGGCCGAUGUAUUUUCUAGCGCACCACCGUUGAUGUACAAGCAACUAAUGUUAUGCUGGGUGUUUUGUUUGUUAAUAAUAAUUCGCGCAUCACACCAUUUCCAUUUAAAUCAUCUGAAAGAAUAUGCCGUGUAGCUCAAAAUCCAGUGAAGCACGGCUAAAUCAGGCUAGUAUCAUUAUCAGUACAUAAACAGGCUUCCAACAUUUUUCUCGCCACAUUAGUGUCCAUCUCAACAUUCUUCGAAGCUAAAUUGUGACGCCAACAUCCACCCGAGUGAGCUUACUAGAGUUAGAAAAUUGUGUUAGUUUAGGAACCGUAGCCACUGACAACGAGUUGAGGGUACCCGCAAAAAAGAAAAAGAAAAAAAAAGAGUUGAGGUAGCCAACUGAGAAAGUCAGUGAUAGCUUGGGGAGUUCUGAUGCAUUUUUCUCUUUCCAAAAGCUACCGUUGAGGAUAUUCCCCUUGCUUCUUGGUUAUUAUUUUCUAAGGCGAUGAAAAAUGUAGAAACAAAUUCUUGUGCAAUAUACAGUUUGCAUGUCAGUAUAACAUUUUGUAGAUUUCCUUAAAAUAGUUUUUUUAUGACAAAGUUGCCAUACAUAAAGCAUAAGUAUGACAGUUGAAUGUGGAAAAUGAGAAACAAAGCUGCAAAUAGCAGCUGCAUAUGUGACUCGGUAGGAUACAAUGCUCGACACUCAACAGCUAUUAGUCAUUUUCACUUGCUUACCUUAAAUUGUAAAAUGGUUCUGCCGGUCUGCCCAGAGCUUCCAAACAUUAUAUGCUUAUCCUGAUAGAUAACUUGUCCCAAACAUACAGAGGCUUCCCUGAACAUUAUAUGCUUAUCCUGAUAGAUAACUUGUCCCAAACAUACUUUGCUACUUCUAGUUAAUUAAUCUGAUCUGUGGUGGAUGGUUAUCACUCCCUCCGUUCUCAAAUGUAAGUUUUUCUAGAUAUUUCAAUAAGUGACUACAUACGAAGCAAAAAGAAUGAAUCUAUACUCUAAAAUAUGUCUUCAUACAUCCGUAUGUUGUAAUCCACUUGAAAUGGUUAAAAAAACUUAUAUUUAGAAACGGAGGGAGUACCUCACAAGUGAGAUCACAACCAUUCAUUCUAGUGCGCCAUAAUUAUUUGUUCUUUGGUUCACAGAUGCCACUAAGGCCCAGUUCUUUUCACUCGAUUCUGAACAAUCUGGGUCUGAAAAAAAUCAAAAGCUCAAAAGAACUGGAUCUGAUUUUAUCCAAAAUCAUGUGAGAAUCGCCAGAAUGAGUAGUGCAAUCGAAAAUCGUGUCGAGACCUCUUCUGGCGAUUCUGGACGCUCCCACGAAACAAAACGUUUUGACUUAAGGUAGUAGUACCCCUAUUUGAGAGGCAAAUUACCAGAGAACUGCCACUCUCCUUCGCUCGAUCCCCCACCUCCCCACUCGCGCUCGCGAUAGGGUUACAGGGCCGCCGCCGCCGCGCCGCCCGACAGCCCGCCCCUCCCGCUCGCUUCGAGGCCCGCAGCCGUUGCUCCGCCCCGGCCACUCCUUCGGCCCGCCUGCUCGCCUCGAGGCCCUCAGCCGCUGCCCCGCCCCGACGCCGCCUCGCCGGAGUUUGCUCGGGCCGUCGCCUAGGCUGAGCUCUCAUCUCCUCUCCGUCUUCUCUGUUCUGUUCUGUUCUGGGUGCAGCUCUAUUCCUUCUUGUUCGUCUCUGUUCCUAGUUCUUCUCUGUACAUGGAAAAAUGGAUGGAUGUUUGUUUGUUUGUUUGGUAGGAGUAGAUGAUUUGCUUGAUUGCUGAAUGGAUGUAUGCUCGUUUUCAUGCUCAUAUUCGACAUAAAUUGUCCAAAGCAACUAGAGUAAGUCUUAGCAAUUCAACACACAGUUUUAGUUCAGGGACAUUACAGAAAUUUUAGCACACAACUCAUCCCAUAAUCUCAGACCACAAUCUUAGAAAAAGAACUCGGCAGCUGAUUCUGGGUGAUUCUGCAGGAAGCUGAUUUUGGGGCAAGUUUCUCAAAAGCUGAUUUUGGAGAAUCAAAAAGCUGAAAAGAAUUGGGCCCUUUUUUCCUCAGAUACACUAAGACAAAAUUAGAGCUCUACUCAGAACUUGAGGCUCGAGCAGCUCAUGAACUCCCAGUAUGUUGUAUAACAUUGGUUGACAUACGCUUGAGUAUGUACUCAUAUGGGUCCAUGGUGGACUAGAGGUUUGGCGGGCAUGAUCUUUAAAGAAUGAUCUAUCAUGGAUUCUAGUAGAAAGUAUAAGUUAUUCUACAAACAUUAUAGGAUAUACUGGUCUGAGGGAAAAAUAGAAAUAAAAAUUCACAAUGCAUUUGUUAGUCUGUGAAUUUCUAAUUAGAUUAUUCCUGGGACAAUAGUAAUUCUAUUUGUGAUCAUAUUUCGUCUGAAGAGCUGCUACUAUCGGCUACCAUUUCUCUUCAGUACUAUAAGAAAUAUCUGAACUGAACUUCGUUAUAUAUAAUUGCAAAAAUCUUUGUGAACCAGCGAAAGGCAUUGGGACCAGCAAACCCUAUUUUCUUCAGGAACCGGUUCAAGAAAACAUUGUAGCUUGAAUCAGCAAAAGACAAGAGUAAAACGUUGCCAAGCUUACUUGAUAGUUUAGUCUUGUCAUAGUAACUUAAUCCUAAUAGUUAUGAUCUGUUUUAUUUGUAGAACUUGGGUGGUAUUAUUUUGUACAUUAAGUACAUAAGUAACAUUUUAUUUCUUCAGGUUCUUAUACAGCUACUUUGUUACAGUUAAUACAGAUAAUAUUAUCUUGUACCAUGGCUAGUGCGGAGGAUGUGAAGCAGCGGCAGGUUGUUGAAGACCGUGCAAGAAAUAUUAGCCACAAUGUACGGUGCACUGAGUGUGGCAGCCAGUCCAUUGAAGAUUCGCAAGCAGAUGUUGCAGUUCUCCUUAGAAGGGUACUUUUCGUUCUAUAACCUUGUGAUGAUUGGUUGCCUGACCUUGUUGUUUCAGUUAGUGGUCAAACUUUUAGUAGCAGAGAUUGGCUUAUUCCUGUAUACCUUUUCAUGUUUCCACAACAUCCAAAUUUUGCUUUGUUGCUCUCUUGAUCUUAACAAGACCUAACUAAGAUUGGAAAUUUGAUAACACUUUUAACUGAGGUAACACUUGUACUUGAGACCUUGUACUGAUCAAUACAACAACAACAAAGCCUUUCAGUCCCAAACAAGUUGGGGUAGGCUCUAGGACUGAUCAAUAAUGACAUAAAAUAAAAUGUGUUCACCGGCACCCAAUAGUUAAAUGCAAAAUAGGGUUGAGAAACUUGAAAUGAUAUUUGCUACUAUCAAUUUUUUUUUUGAAGAAUCUAUAUGUCCUGUUUGGAUUUGGAAUGAUAGAGAUGGUUUUGGUAAUGCCGCAACUGGUUUGGUUCUUCGAUUAUAUACAUUUGCGUCCUUUUUACUUGACUAGGUUUCUUAGACUUGGAUGAUAUUUCUGCCUAUUCAGCUAUAUUAAAUUUACAUUACCUUUCACUGUACCAGAACACUGUUGUCUGAUUCACAAGCAUUUAUCUGCACCAUGUACUACAUAUACACGAGAAAAAAAUUAAUCUUGAGUUCUCAACGUCAAUAAAGGCACUUGGUUUAUAUGCUUUAAAGGAUUGAAAUAUUAUUGCCUUACACCCAAUAUGUCAUGGGAAGCUUCACGGCCGGACGAACUGACAUAUGUGUCAUUUUUGCAGUUAAUUCGUGAUGAAAUAAAAUCUGGAAAGAGUGAUAAGGAGAUAUACAAAAAACUAGAAGAAGACUUUGGAGAAACAGUUCUAUAUGCCCCUAAAUUUGAUCUUCAAACUGCUGCCAUAUGGUUAUCACCGGUGAGCCUUAAUUAUGAUUCUUUUUCCAUGCUGUUCAAUUGUCCGUGCUUUUAUUAUACUAGAAAUAUUAUCACUUGCACUUUUUUAGCCUAUUAUUUGUUCGUUUUAUGAAUGCAUUGUGUGUCUUGGUGAACCCAAGCAUAUUCCAUCAUCACAAACUUUUGCAUCAAGAUGUUUUUCGUAAGUACGUGGAUGAUUCUCUUUCAUAGUUACUUGGUGAAUUUGCAACCAGUGGAAGUAAAAUAUUUCAAUUCUUAAAAAAUCUAAUUCCAGCUGAUCCCUUGUUGUAGUUCAAUGUAGUCUGUAGAGAGAUAAAUUGAUACUGAUUUGACCUGCUUUCAUUUGUGCUUAGUAAAAUUAUGUUGUUGCAGCGGAACAUGGUAAAAUGAAGGCUUCAAAAUAUCGAAGUAUCUACCCCCCUGAAUUAGUAUCAUUUUAUCCUGUGCAGGUGAUUGUGAUUUCUCGGGUAGGCAGUCGAGAGCCUGAUACAUUAAAUCCUGUGCAGGUGAUUGUGGGCGGCGUAGCAGCUGGUGUGUGGGCUUACCAAAAGCACAGGCAAAGGACCAACGUUCACAUCAUGGCUCUGAACCUCGUCCGAGGGGUUCCCCUGACUCCAAGGGAGAAGGAGACGAUGAUCGACAUCCUCACGCCGCCCCUGCCGGCAAGGAGGUGGUGGUGGCCUAUCAAAUGAUGUUCUUUCAUGUCCUUAGACGCGACAUUGAGUGGGUACCAAUUUCCUGAGGUACAAAUGUUCAGGAUGGCUGGAAUUUUAGCACGUGAUUUCGUUGCACAUCUCGCGCCCUGCUUGGAGCUUGGGCUACAGAUUUUUUUUCUGGGUUUUAUAACCGGAUGCUUGCGAUACCUUGGUGGUUUGUGAAGCAUGAACCUAGCUAGCAGCACAUGUUGCCUUCCUCCGUAUGCUGGCUGUGAAGCUGAAAAACAGCCUCCUGUUAAGUGUAGUUUCUUCCCUAAACAUGUGGUGUCACUGCUGACCCUCUGUGCUAGCAGUCUAGCACACAAGUAGAGCAUUUUGUUCUCAGAAUAAGCUGCAAAUUUUAAUUGAAUUUUCGUAGGCUCUUUGAUCGAUGUCAUGUUUGUUUCAUCUAACCUGCGACCUUGAUCCCCCAGCUUGGCGUACUAGAUGGUACUGGCAUGCAAUUCUCCAUAAACAAACAAGUUGGUGCUGGCAUGCAUACAUAGCAGCGGCACAGAUGAUUACUGGAGGUUUUCUCUCUUAACUAAAGUUCAUCGGAGGUUGUAAAAAAAAAUCGGAGUUGAGGUCUUUCAAAAAUAAAUGAAUGUUAAAUUAGCUCAAAUUCAUGUGUUUCUUCUUGAUCUUCUAGCUACGGGGCCGCCGGUAUUUUCACCCAACGACUGAACGGAGCACUGUUGUGAGGAUAAGAUAGCUGGAGUUCUGUGGAUGGAUUAACCCGGCCCGAAAUAUAUACUUUCUCCGUUCCGAAUUACUUGUCGCACGUAUGGAUGAUAACCAGGUACAAGCUCUCGUCCUCGUAGAGAGAUCAGAAACCACACACAUGUAUACAGUGCACACAUUUGAACAAGUGCCACCAGCAACAGCAAUGUUAUACCUGCAAAAAAAAGCAACAGCAAUGUUACACAGACAGUCACUGCCAAGAGGCGACACGCGUCAACACACUCUUUCACAUGGCAGCCCAGUGGCAAGGUCACAGUGGUAUUUCCUUGUAGACCGGAGUUUAAAUCCCGUCGGUAGCGAAUUUUUACGAUCUCAUCGGGGUGGGCUUCUUCUAUAAAAAUAUGUCCUGGAUGCUAGUGUCUAAGGAUCUCAUUUUUUUAACACACUCUUUCACACACCGACAGGUAUACGGCUUGGUGGAUGUACAUUGUACCUCCAGGCUACAGCCAUUUAUACCCCAUCAAUCGAUCCCAGGAGGACAGAUGCUGGGAGGUUUUUAUUAUAUUUAAGAUGCUUUGUACUUCGAAUGAAAUUUUAAUCUGAUCUUUCUCGGGGUGGAAAAAAACAUACCGCUAACAUGACACGAUUGAGCGAAGCACUGUUGUGAGCGAUAAGAUAGCUGGAGUUCUGUCGGUGGGUUAAUUAACCCCGAAGUAGAUUGUUUACAGAAACCACAUACACAUGUACUAAAGUGCACACAUUUGAAGUAGUGGCAAUGUUACACACGGACACAGUCACUGCCAAGAGGGGACAUGCGUGGCAGCACACACUUUCACACACCGACAGAUACGUAGUACGUACGACAAGAUGAGCACAUGUAUAUACGGCUCAGUACAUGUAUACUAUACCUCCGGGCUCUUGCCAUUUGCACCGCAUGCAUCAUCAACCCACCCCGGGGCCGGGACACGAGGAGGACAGAUGUUGGGAGGGUGGGUGGAU